Molecule: non-coding RNA, 53422 nt
Organism: Oryctolagus cuniculus (rabbit)
Lineage: Eukaryota; Metazoa; Chordata; Mammalia; Lagomorpha; Leporidae
Source: RefSeq, a predicted model, not a curated record
GCGCUCCUUCUCGCGCUCCAGCAGUUGAACCUGUCGCCGCCGCCGCCGCCGGCUAGGCUGCCUCGGUGGCUCCCCUGCCGUCUUUGCCCACCCCGACCCCGGCUCGCCCCCAGGCGCGGAGGGACCCCUGGACUGGGGCCUCUGGCACCGGCUCCCGGUCACCCCUUUCUUUCUCCAUCCUAAACUUACCCUGUGUGUAUGUGCGCGGGCGCGCAAGUGUUUUAUUUAUCGUGAAAAAUUACUCUGCACCCCAUGACCCUUUCCCCCCCUCUCUCCUUAAGCCACCUUCUUUCUCCCUCGCGUGUUUUCCCUGUGCCUAAGCGGGCUCGCUGCUAGUCGCGCCUGUUGUUCGGACGCGGGAGACCCAGACCCUCAGCCAGAGGAGCCCUCCGGUCUCGGACUCUGUGCCCUCAAGGCAACAAGCCGCAAAGGAAGGCGCACCGCAGGAGCCUGGGCAGGGCUGGGGUCCCGGGGUGGUGCUGGCCGGGCUGCUCCGCAGCCCGCGGGCUGUGGAGCGUGCAGCUCCGAGAACCAGGCUGUGCACCUGUGUGUGCUCCCUGUGGCCGCUGCGCCCCCAGUCGCCCGAGGUUUGCGGGGUCAGGCACGACUGGAGCCCAGCCUGGGCAGCCUGGAGAGCGCGGCGGGCGGGCGUGCCUCGGCCCGGGCCUGGAACUGCCAGCCUCCUCGGCUGGCGUCCCGGAGUCCCUCGCCCCAUUGACUCGAGGGGUGCUUGCUUGCAUGCCUGUCCUAUUAAAAAAAAUUAAAAGAGGCUUGGCACGUUGAGCUAGGAGCCCGGCCUUCCCGUCGGUGGCUGUGUUUGGCUCCGGGAGGAGUUCUUCCUGUAGUUCAACUUGCUAUUGGCCGGACUCCCUCCAACUUCUCUGUUUACUGCCCGGCCGGGCUGCGGAGCCUGCCGGUCGCGCGAAUUGAUUUAACCCGAGGCGGGCGCGGCGGCUGCGCUCCCGGGCGCGGUCAGUGUUUGCUGGAGAGCUUGAGCCCCAGGUACCUGGACAGGCAAAGGGCUAAUUGACCCCGAGGGGCCGCGCAGGGGGCUGGCGCGCCGCAGCGGGCAGGGCUAAUGACAGCAGCACCUGCAGGGACAGGGGAGCUCUAAGUUUCCAACACUGGGAGUUUCCUGGGGAUGACCUGGGGACUGGAAAGGAAUGAGGAGAACCGGUGUCUGACGCGGCCAAGGUGGGGGGUGGUGGUGGUGGUGGCCUCUGGAGAGCCCGGGGGAGAUUUCCGGAGCCGUUUGGGGUUGCUGGCGAGAGCGUGGGAGGCAGCUUGAGGAGAUAAAGCCCCUGGGAGUGGCGAUAGGGCGAGCUUUAGGCCUCCGGAGGGUGUCCUCCUGACCUCGCCAAGAGAACGGCGGCUCGCGGUAGUUUCCCCGCUCCGCCCCCGCCUCCCCCUCGCUGCCUAGUAAAUAACAAGUUCCAAUCAUGGAGCCUUUCAGAAUGACCUUCGCCUGGCACAUGUGCGCCGUUUGCACCCUCCCAAUUACUCCGAAAUUCUUCAUGCAUACCAGGUCCCGCGCUCCAGCCACCUCGGGAAUUGCACCGUCUCGAGAUUCCAAGCGGCCUCUUAGAUACAUCCCUUUUUAUCUGCCUCCCCACUCCCAGUCCCUUCAUAUUUUCCCUCAAUGGGUUGAUUAUGCACAUUGACCCAUUCAAAAACAGUUGCGACCGACAGGCAGGCUGAGGCGGGAGGAAUUUCUAGGAGGCGACCUACUGGGGGCUGUCUGGUUCAGCCUCUGCCGCUGGAGGACCCGCUCCCGGUACGCAGCAAUUUGGUAUUAACUGUGCGGCGCGGGGCUGAGCUAUUCCGAAAAGCCCUUUUCAGAAUUUCUGCAAGGAAUGUAAUCCAAAUUAGUUCUGCAGCUGUCCUCUUCCUCGUCUCAGGCGACACCAGCUCUUGCCCUCGCUCGUCUCUUCUCCUUUCCCUGGGCGAAUUGUCAGACCCACAAGUGAGCCCAUUUAGAGCGCGAGGAUUAGCGUGCCAUUGUUGUUCCGAGUGUGACUCUGUACUUGAAAUUCUGGGGGCACAAAGGAGAGCCUCACUUGUUCAGAACACAAAGUGAUCCAGAUGAAAGGGCCGCACAAAGAAAAGCUCUUGGGUGCAUCCCUGGUAUAAUUGCAACACUCAUACUAAGGUGACCCACUGGAAACUGCAAACUCCCCUGGGGACUCCCCCCCCCCCCUUUUGCCCCACCGCACCUGACAGGAAAAGUUCAGCUGGUUUGAAUGCAGCGUUAUUGUGAAAACAAGUGACUGGGUGUGAGUGAGGCUGUGUGUUUGUGGCUAUGCAUGUGUGUGGUUACGUGUUCUCAAGUAAAUACGUAUUGCGCGCCUCUCCUCUCUCGCGGUUAGCAGUCAGUAGCAGUUUGGAAGAGUUUGUUUUGGUCCAAAUGAGAAAUUAAGUGCGGAUAAGUAAACUAAGCUGCCAGAGGGCGACAAGAUGUUGAGUGAAUUGCUUUUAGAUGAAACAAAUUAAGGAAACGAGGGAAGACAAUCUGCUUCUCGCAUUAUUAGACACGCUUGGAGUUCAGGGGAAAGUGGCAUAUUUUGAAAUGCUAAUUUCUUAAGAAGCAGAAGGAAUGCACCUUAUUUACUGCUCUAUGUGAACAGAAUAAAAAUAUAGGGUGAAGGAUUCUGGUGAAUAGAUCUUUAAGAUAUUUCUUAAAAAUAUUUAUAAUGUAAGGAGACCUGUUUUGUUCCCUCUUGAAAAAAAAUCAGUUGUAAAGAGAAUUUUCUAGUAAUUCUGAAGGACGUCUCAUUUCCAGUGAUUCACUUUUUUUCUGAAAUAUUACAGCCAAGGACCCUAUGAGCGGCAAUUAUGAAACCUUUGCCACCUAAAGGAAUAAUUCUGAAAUUUCCAUCUUCCUCAUUUAAUCAAUAAUUAUCAACAUUCCCCUUGUAUUGAAAUAAAUUUUAUAGUAUUAUAUAGAAAUAUUGAAGUGGCACUUUCACAUACCUUAAUAGAUAUGUGAUAAACAAGUUCAGUUCCCAUUUCUUGUUUGCAAGUAACUUAGCCCCGCUUUUCAUUCUGUAAAAGUACAUGUCUUUCCUACAUAUUACAAUAUGUAAUUAUUUUUUGAAACUUAGCUUUUUUUACAUUUGAGGAGAAAAAUAUUAAUAGAACUUAGUUAAAUAAUGAAAGAAGUGUUAAAUGCAUUUUCAAGAAAGUGUUAGUAUUCUUUCUUACAUGUACUGCAAGCACACCCAUAGGUGCACUGUUUCCCUUUUUUCUUUUAAUUUUGAAAUUCUUAUAUAUGUAGAGUGGGGCAUUUUUAGAGGAAGAUUUUUUCUCAUUAUUUGUAAAUAAAUUAAUAGACUUGUGUACUAUUAACUGAAACUCACUUGAGAAUAACUGAGUUCUUUUCUGGUGAAAUGGAAGGACUCUGGUUGUGUCAGAUUGCCUUUUUUUCUUUUUAACCUCAGCUACCUUUAUGUAUUUUAAUUAUGCAUGCAGAGUAAGUCAAAUUUUGUUGAAAAUCAAGGUACUUACUGCUUUAUAUAUAUAUUUUCAUUUAGUCAUUGGAAAUCUGUCAUGAUUAAGAAAUUACAUUAGAAUAUUUACCAGGGCUUGCACUUCAUGGAAGAUUUAUGUAUUUUUUAUUCUAACCCAAACACAGUAAGUUGGCAUUGGCUAAUUUUUAGAGUUUGCACUCAUUUAAUGGAAAAUCAUAUUUCCUCCUGAAAGUGGAUUCAAAUAUUUAGUAUUCAUGAGCUUUCAUCAUUUCAGUUCUUAAAUAGAAGUACUAUUUAUCAUCUGUCUUAUGCAUUCACCCUUUCCAUUACUAUAGAUUCUUUCUUUACAUCUUACUGUUUAUUGAGUUUACACGUGUGAGUAUAUAUUUUCUCUUCUACCACUAAGUGUAUUCUUUUUCAUGUGUGUUUUUCCCAGCAACCUGCCACUCAGCCACUGCAGGAGUCCUCUGAGCCAGUUUUCAUUCUUUCUUUCUGAUAAAUCUGAUAUGGCUGGUUGGCUGGACAAUCACAAGCCAUUCCAUUGCUCAGAUUUAUUCCUGAAAGAAAAUAAAAAGGCAUCGAUCCAAGAUCACUAGCACAUCUCAAAAGCCCUGACUCCAAGGCCAAAUCUUUCCACAGAGAAGUCCCUUCUUCCCUUUCCCUCUUCCUCAUUUCCUUUCUUGACUAAGGAAGGAAGGUUGUCUACUGCCAUUUAACAAUGCUUGUGAUGCAAGGAAUUGUGCUUUUUCUAAGCAAUCUUUGAUGCUUGGUGAUUCAAGCCACCUUGAGUCUAAACAUCUAUGUAAGGUAUACAUUUUUAGACAAUAAAUUGAAUUAGGAUGCCUUAAAGAUUGCAGUGCUUUAAAGCAGUGUCAUUUUUUUCAUUAUAUUAAGGUAGGUAUUAAGAAAACUUAUCAUGUAUUUUAAAAAUAACAAUAUGUUUUGGCUUUAUUACAGUGUUCUGCUACUACUGAAAAUCCAUAUGUAAUCUCUAAGUGCCUAAAACGUAGGUGAAGCAAAGGAUCAAAAAGGAUAUAUUCUGUUACACCAAACUUGUUGGCAUUUACUAUGUUAGAUUUCAUCCUUUUGAGAGAUACUGAUUUACGGAGAUGUAAAUAUUUACAUUGAAUUUAGCUUAUACAUGUUUAAGUCCAGAGCUGUACUAUAGAAAUUAAUUACCAACCAUAUCUUGCUGUUAUCUUUUACAGUGAUCUACUGAGAAUACUAUGUAGGGUAGAAUUUAAUCAUAUUACCUACUUUUCUCCAGGUUAUAUCAUUUUAGAGAUGUUCUAUUAUAUUAACAUUUCACCAUCUGGAACCAAAUUGCAUCUUCUAUCUAAUACUUUUUUUUUUUGAGGUACUAUAAAUAUUGAACUGUCGAGUAAAACCUUGCUUUUCAUGAUUUCUGAUAUAGCAAUUAACAGUUUAUAAUGAAAAGGAUUCCUUUGAUUUUCCUUUUUUAGAAAAAAAUCCUAGAUCAUUAUUUCCUAAAACUAUAGCUCUUCAUAAAUUUGAAGACUUGAACUGCCUAUUUUGUUGUUAAGUGUUAACUCAGGAAAUAGCCAUAUGGUUAAAAUCAGAAUUUCUAUAUUCUAGGGACAGUUACUCCAGUCCCAUGUCAAUCCCUUGAGCAACUCACUUCAUCUCUUGGGAGUUGGCUUAUCUGCCUGGGGGUUUGGGGGUGGGGAGGGAUGCAAGGAAUGUACUGUUUCUCUACAGUAUAACAGUUUUCUGAAAAAUGACUUUAAAGUCUUCUGUAAUAGCAAGAUACAUUCCAGUAAAAAGUUUAUUGUUUUUGUAUAUGCAAUUCAGAUUGCAUAUGUAAUUUAGAACAUGUGCACAUAUGUUAGUAAACAAAUAAACUUCUUAGCAGGCUAUCGGUGACAGAAGAGAACCUGUCUAAUGAAAUAGAGAUAUGGACUCUAUAGCAUUUGUGUUUGAAAGCCAUUUCCCCAAAAAUAUUGCUUUUCAGAAUUGCUUGGGAUCGCUUUAGAUUUCAUUGCAUAUGUUUAUUUUUUGAGUUGUUGGUAAUUCUGACACAUUCAUUAAAAUGACCUAUUUUCCAUUGCUUUAAUAAUUCUUUAUAGCCUCUUUCUUGUUUGUAUAUCUGUUUCCUAAACUGGUGCUUUCUGUUUGUACUUACUUAUCAAGAUGAAGAGAGCUAUCUUACUUUUGCAGUACAGAGAUAGAAUAUAUGUGAGUUUUGGGGCCUAAUUCUUAAAGAAUAGCUGUGAGCAUGUAGUAAUUGUUUUAUACUUAUUUUCAUUUUGAAUCUGUAUUUGUUCUGUAGUCCCAUCACUUUGCACAACUCCAGGGGGCAGCAGCCACACAGAAUUUAAUAGGAAUGGUUCAUGCCUGAGCUGUGGGUAGCACAGCAGCAGCCCUGCUGUUGUGUGAUGCUGGAGAAUAAAACACUAAAAUGAAAGUUAGAGAUUCUGGUCCUGAUACAAUAAUUUGCUGUGUGAUCUUGGGUUAGAUUCCUUGCCUGUGUCUCAAUUUUUUCACCUGUAUUAGUGUAGCUAAAUGUGAUAUUUUAUUAACAUCAUGAAUGUUUUCAACAAAUCAGAAGGAAAAGCUAUGUUUAAGCUUUUUAGAAAAAUGCAUUUGUUUUUAAGCAGUGUAAAUUUUUUUAAGUGUACCUUUGAUUUUCAAGUGAAUUCAUAUAUGUAGCUCUGAUAUGUAAACAUAUUAGGAAUCAAAGAAAUAGCUGCUUUUGUUAAAGGUACGUUGAGCAGUCAGCUUUGUGGUCCCCUGAAUUUCACCUUCCACUUCUCCUUCCUUUUCUUUCCACUUUCCCAUCUAUUCCUCUGUGCUGGCUUCACAGAAGUCUACACUGUUUGGAAAAUACUGAUGGAGUCCAGUCAUCUCAUUUUUAAAGUGAGAAACUUGGAGUACCAGUGAUAAGUUAGUGGCAGCUUCUCACACCAGUGUCAUUUACUGUAACACACAAACUACUUGAAAACUCAGACACUUAAAUCAGGAAGAAUACAUUAAUUAAAGUUCGUUGUUUUAAAAGAGAACUGCAAAAACUGAAGUGAAAAGAAAUGGUGCUAAUUAUUGUGCUGUAUAAUACCUUUCAAUGGGAAGUCCAUGGGAUUGUCAUUGUCAUCUUUAUAUUUAAGAUGAAUUCAUUAAUUGUAACUUAUGGUAUAUGAAGUUUUAAGAAGUGAAGCAACUUUGUUAAGAUAGUAGAAGGAUCUUUUUACCUGAUUUGGCCUAUUCUGAAUAUAGGAUUUUGACUCUAAAAGUCACAAAAGGAGCAGCCCACCUUAAGUCUCUGUAUAUCAUAGUAAUUUCUAGAAUUUAUACCUGUCACUUUAUACAGAUGACCAAUCAGUAGAGAAUGGUUAUUUCUCCACUCUGAAAUAAGUAGCAUACAUGUUUAAAUAAAAUAGAUUGUAAAGGGUAAGCACUGGGUUCCUUAUCACUAGUUAGUUGGUAGAGUCCCACAAUCCGAGUGAUAUUCCAGACUUUUCCAGGUCCAUCAUCCAACCCAAGGUUCUUUACUGUAUCCACUGUCUUUGCUGAGUCUCUCCCAACCCCACCUUUUUUUCUCCAGGCCCAGACAAAGAUGUAGGUGUGUUCUUUGAACAAAUGCAUGAGUAAAACUAAUUACUAAGUUAUUAUGCAUUCAUUGUUAUGGCACGUUUCCCUGCCUUUAGAAGGCUUCUGCAGGCUGCUUCUUUGGGCCUUCAUGACUGCAGUGUUGUUGAUAUAACCUUGACUUUGGUUGUGGGUGACUUCUCUCAAGCCCCUGAGCUUUCUUGGGCAUGCUCAGCAUUCUCGUGGGCCCUAGUGACAGAAGGGAGAUUUGAAACUCAUUUAGGAAUUAGAAAUGAAAAUGGACCCUUGUAACAAAAGAUUAACAUAGACACUGUGGAACUUUCUAUGAAACAUCAUUAAAAACUCUCCCUUGGGGUGUAGCUCAGCACGAUUUCUGUCAAUCACAUUAUUUCCAAUAUUGUGGGAGUUACCAAAGCAUACUAAACACCAAUAAGAAUGCUCAAGACUCAGUUUCUGAAUCCAGGAGUUAAUCGGAAUCAGGGUUAUGUGAAUAUUUCUAUUUAUUUCACCUGGAAUAUAAAAGUAUUUAAAGAAAAGAAAAUGAAUGGUGUAAUAAGCAUUUGUUUAUUUUCCAAACAGAUCAGACUUGUAAACAAUCAGUUUCACCUGAUAAGCUUUACGACUCUUCUGAUAUUAUAUCUGGUCCCACAUUCACUGGUUCAAGUGGAUAUUGAAAUAUUAAGCCUUUAGGUUACAAGCAGGGAUCAUAAACCUGCUUUUUAAAAACAUAUCUGCUAGUCUUCUCUCUCCUGCUGAGGGUGUCUCUUGGCUGAUAAAACAUGGUGACAGAUUAUCUAAGUUCUGUGUCUGUAUCUAGUAUGGCUGCAGCUUGAGCAGUUAAGUUAUGCAGUCCUCUGUUUCAGGAUGGAUCCCUAUCACUAGCAGGGGUAUACCUAAUAGAGGUCAUGGGUGACAGUGACUGUUUUGCUCUAGGCAAACUCUCCUUUUACUAAAAUCUUUCUUUGUCAGUAUUUGCUAUUCUUCCCUGUAGGCUCAAAGAAUAUGAAUUUCUUUCUAUUGGGGCCUAUGGGAGCCAAAUAAAAAUAAAACAGAAUAAUAUUUCUUUUAGACAUAUACUUUUUUUUUUUUUUUGGACAGGCAGCAUUAGACAGUGAGAGAGAGAGAGAGAGACAGAGAAAAGUCUUCCCUCCGUUGGUUCACCCCCCAAAUAGCUGCUACGGAUGGCGCACUGCGCCGAUCUGAAGCCAGGAGCCAGGUGCUUCCUCUUGGUCUCCCAUGCGGGUGCAGGGCCCAAGCACCUGGGCCAUCUUCCACUGCCUUCCCCGGCCACAGCAGGGAGCUGGACUGGAAGAGGAGCAACCGGGACAGAACCCGGCGCCCCAACCAGGACUAGAACCCCGGGGUGCCUCACCAGGACUAGAACCCUGGGGUGCCUCCGCAGGCGGAGGAUUAGCCUAUUGAGCCAGGGCGCCGGCAUAGACAUAUACUUUUGGUUUGAAGAAUUCCUUUAGUCAUUUUGUCUGGAACUAGAACAAUUAAAUAAGUUUCUUUUAAGGAAAAUUGACUGCAUGGCUUAUUAAAAUUAAAAAUUUCUGUGAAAUCAUGUAGUCCUUAAAAAGCCCAGAAGGGCUAUUGCAAGAUCCUCUCUAUGGGUCUCGUCUUUCCACAUGUUCAUAUCCCAAAUCCUUCCUGUUGCCACCAGAUGACCUUUUCUAAAAUAAUACUUUCAUUAUCUUUGUUUUUGUUCUGAAACCUUCAGUGAUCACCACUGCAAAAUUUAAAGCCUGCUAAAAUACUCUUCAGUUUCCUUAAUCCUGUUUUAGGAUUUCUUAAGAUAUAUUGUAUCUAAGAACCAGGCUGACCUAGACAGAGUUCCCUGACCAUGCUUGUUCAUUGUGUUUACUUUUGCUGACCCCUUUCCCUGGAAUUCUUGGCCCUUUUUUGUUGCCUCUGCCCCACCAAACUUUUGAAUCUUUUCAAAAUAUUUAUUUAUUUAUUGGAAAUACAGUUACAAGAGAGAGAUAGGAAGAGAUAAAGAUCUUCUACCUGCUGUUUCACUCCUCAAAUGGCGGCAGUGGCCAGGGCUAGUUCAGACCUCAGUCAGGAGCCAGGAGCUUCUUUCAGGUCUUCCACAUGGGUGCAAGGGCCCUAGUACUUGGGCCAUGCUCCAUUGCUUUCCUAGACACAUUAGCAGGGAGCUGGAUUGGGAGUGUAGCAGCCAGGACUUGAUCCAGCGCCUAUAUGGGAUGCCUAGGUCGCAGGUAAGCACUUUACCUGCCAUGCCACAAUGCUGGUGCCUGAACUUUUGAAUCUUUUAAGCUUUAACUUUACAGUAUACCUCCUCAUUACAUCUUCACUGACUACCCAGCCUACAGUCCUUGUCAAUAUCAUUAUUUAAUCUAAAACAUUCUGUAGUUUUAUCUUUCUAAGUAGAAGAGGUUUUAUUCCCCGCAGAGACUAAUAUGAUACUACAUACAUAGUAAGUACUUUAAAAAUAUUUUUAAUGAAAGAAUAGCAUGCAUUUGCUGGAACAAUUUUAAGCUCAUUCAUGAAUGGUUAUUAUUUGUAAUUAAACCAUAUAGUGCACAAAGUAAGUGUUCUAAAAACAUAAUUACAGAAUUCUUAAUAAUAGAUGUUAGGCAUGUUUACCCUGGGAAUUUCUUUGGUUGUUUUCUUGAGCUUCCUAGGGUAUUUCUCCAAAUGGGGUGUUUUCAACACUAUACCAUUUGUCCCUGUGCCCAUUUUUAGAGUCUGCUCAUACUAUGCUACAAAGCAUUUCAAUUGAUUUGAUUUUGGCAAGCUAAAUAUAUGUGAAUACCAUUCUUAAACAUAUAACUGUUUUAUAGUCCACUGUUUUGAUGUCUCAUGGCCAUUGUAUUGCUAUUUCUUACCCCCAAUCUUAAAGUUUUAAUCAGUUUAAGCGUUAAGUGUUGGCUGACGCACCAGUGUAUUUCAUGACCAUGUAAGGAACUGAGGAGGUGCUAUAAGAAGCUCAGGUUGCCAACUUUUCUGUUAAAGAAGGAUAGGUGGGGCUAGUGAAACAUAGUGUAAAAAUGUUGGCCGGUGCCGCGGCUCACUAGGCUAAUCCUCCGCCUUGCGGCGCCGGCACACCGGGUUCUAGUCCCGGUCGGGGCGCCGGAUUCUGUCCCGGUUGCCCCUCUUCCAGGCCAGCUCUCUGCUGUGGCCAGGGAGUGCAGUGGAGGAUGGCCCAAGUGCUUGGGCCCUGCACCCCAUGGGAGACCAGGAGAAGUACCUGGCUCCUGCCAUCGGAUCAGCGCGGUGCGCCGGCCGUAGCGCGCUGGCCGCGGUGGCCAUUGGAGGGUGAACCAACGGCAAAGGAAGACCUUUCUCUCUGUCUCUCUGUCUCUCUCACUGUCCACUCUGCCCGUCAAAAAAAAAAAAUGUUAUUAAAGGAUUUUACAAAAUCUUGGGAGGAAUAUUUGCCCUCACAGAUAUGUAAACAAGUAUUUCAUGAAAAAAAGGAUUCCAGGCAGAAUCUGGUGUAUUCUAUCCCCAGGUAUUUGCGACAAUACAACUUUGUUACAGAUAAAAUUUCUCAGUGUGUUAAAGUGGAUAACACAAGCUUACCACUUUGAAAGGACCAUAUAAAGGAAGCAUUUGCAGCAUAACUGAACUAAGAAGAGGUGAUGGGGAUUCUCUUAACUGCUGUUUUAUAUGAUUCGUUCUGCAUUCUGAAAGUUGGUGAGAUGAUUAUAGUAUUUAUAAUACUUAUAUUCUACUAAGGAAAAUGCUCUUCUAAACACCUUUUCUAAAGUUAACAAAUCUUAAACUCUCAAUAUUUCUAGGCACUAGGGUACACUAAUUGUAAAUUAAUUUAUAAUUACCUGAAAGAGUUAAUAUAACUUUCAAAAUUGACUGUAGAAUAAUCUGCUAUUGAGAGAAUUGGAUACAGAGACAUUAGCACAUCUGACUGAAAAUUUUUGAGUUUUCCUGAUCUUUUUUCUUUAAGGAUUUGUGAGAACAUUUGGGUCAGAGAUUAUGGCUCCUAUAUUAUAGAUGAGGAAAUUAAGCUGGCAAGUAGUAUGUAAGAGUGGAGUCUAACUGGUUCUUUCUUGUGGUAAGGUGCGUUUCUGCCCUGUCCUGGGAGCCAGGUGGCUCUGUUUUUUUCUUUGCAGUCUCUUGCCUGCCUUCCUCACAGCACAGCAGCUAAGGAUGCCUCUCAAAGACAUGAUAUUCCAUAUGUCCCUGCUAUGUGAGAGAGGGAAGCAGCUAUUUUACUUUUCCUGUAGCCACAUGAAGAAGUUUGUUAGAUAAAUCUGUUAGGAGUUCUGCUUUAGGUUACCCUGUAUAUACCCUCUUCCAUUGUAUUCUCCAGAUUUCUUUCUGUGUAUUGUGUAUGUUAAGGAAACCAUCAUAUAAGACCUAUCUCCCUGAGGGAACUUUAAAGCAGGAAUAUAUGCAUUAUUUUGGGACUUGCAUUUAUACAAAUGGAGAAAUCUUUUUGAAAACAGUAUAGAAAUAGAAUUGCAAAUUAUAUGCAGAGCCUUGGAAAGCAUCAGUGCAGUAGAGAAGCUCUGAAGCAGAAGCUGUUUUAAAAACUUUAUGGUAAAUCUGUCUGUUGGAAAGUAUUUCAAGAAGUAAUAUUAGCCUUCCUUUAACUGUAAAUUCAGUGUGUCAUUAUAUAAUUUCUUUUUUUUUUUCUCCUAUUGCAUGGAGUGAGUGCCCAUUAUGAAUGUAGGAGAAUGCAUUGCUUUGAGAAGCAAAGUGCUAAGUAGCGUAAGAUCAUAUUGUAAAAUAUUUCAGUAUAUCUUUGGAAAUAAUGUACUAUAUAGAGAUAAUUUUCAGAAUAUUUUCUCUCCAGAUAUGGGUAUGACUAAUCCAGGUAUACAUCUACUUUCUGGACAUCAUAUUUUUAAAUGGUCAUGUAAUAGUGUCUCAGACAAUUCUGUUUACUACAGUUAGAUAUAAUUUAAAAGACUCUUGCUAGUAUAAAAGCUAUAUUAUUGAAAACCUGCAUCUUGAAACAAAGCUCAUUGGCUUUUCAGUCUUUUGCUAUUACUGUGGAAAAAUGUCUAUCUUUGACUUUUACCCUGUGGCCCAGUUAAAUGUGACCAUUUAAACUACAGUAGAAAUUGUUAGAAGUGAGUGAAACAACACAUCCAAAUUAGAAUCAGUAGUCAGCACAGAUCUUUGAUGUUUUUACGUAAUAUAUGAACAUAUUUAAGAAACAAUAAAAGGACUAGUAUUUCAAGUCACACUUUUACUAUGUAAAAAUUGCAGCUUAAAAGUUAAUAUUCCCAGUUGUUAACUUGAAAUUAAGCAGCCCAUUGUCCCUGGUGAUAUAUCGAAACCUCUGAAAACGUGCUUGGAACUAAUGGAAACUGAAGUGAUUGGUAUUCAGAUAUAAUUCUUUAGUGGCCCUUUUCUUUCCUUCCUUUUAAGUACAGGAUGAAAAUUGAAAGUAUAAAAAGAUUCAAGAUAAAUUCAAAUAGACAAAGCAUUUUAUGCAACUGUUGGUGAAAGGGGCACUCAUGAUUUUUUUCGGAGCUUAUUCUGUUGCUUGUGGCCAGAAUUAGCACACCAUGAGCCAGGGAAAGAGAUAAGACAAAUAGAAUGGCACGCAGCUAAUUUUGUUUAGCAAAUUUAGAUCUAAUACAUGCUAUUUCACUCCUACAAACUGAGUCAGUCACUGUUUGAAAGGUACAGAUGAAGUUUGUCUCCUAUGGUUUAACAGCUUUCACUCAAUAUUUAUAGGCUACAUAAAAAUAAAUUUCUGUAAGUACCAUGUUUCUCACUGGCAGGAUGAGCACUGUGAAAGUAGAUUUAUUAAUGAGAAAAAAGGAAAAACAAAAACAUUGCAAUUGUUCCAGGUCUUCAGGAAAUACAAUAUGUCAAACUAUCCAAAAUAUCUUUUUUUCAAGGACAUAUAUAGCGGGGUUUUGAUAUUCAAGGAUUUUUACUACUAGAGAGUGAGUCAGAAAUCCCAUUAUUUUAUGAUAAUUUCAUGAUUUGAAUCUGGUAGAUGUAGGAUCAUAUUCUGGAACAAGUCAUUCAUCUGCCAUAUGAGCCAACAGGACAGGAUCCACUGUAAUAACCAGUAAGUGGCUUAAAACAAAACAAAGCAAAACAAAACAGACAGGACCUCAAAUAUUGGACUCUGUGAAAAAGUGCUGUCAUCUAAAUGAAUGCAUUUUGUGAAAUUUCUAAGUGAGGCUAACUUUUAUAAGAAAAUGGUCACAACAUGAUAGUGAUGGAAAUGUGAUUUUAGAAAAAGUCAGGAAUUUAUUUUGGGAAUAUCUUUUUAAAUUAAUAUAUUUUAAUUUAAACAUAACAGAUUAUUUAAUGUAGUUGAUAGAUACAAUUCUAAGAAUAUAAUGAUGCUUCCCUUCUUUCCCUCCAUCUUUGUCUUUUACUUCUCUCCUCUCUAUCUCUCUACCAGUGUGUGUGUGUGUGUGUGUGUGUGUGUGUCUGUCUUGUCUUUUGAUACUUUUCUAAUUUUUUUCUAGCACACUGAAUUACAGUAUAUCCAAAAACUUGUAAUAUUAUUUAUGUGUCUGCUAGAGCUUUGUCAUGGUGCAAGACUAGAUUCUCCAUAAUCAAACAGUAUAGAAAAUUAUUCUCAUAUUCAUGAAUUGGUCAUCUAAUCAUGUUUCUAUCAAAGGUGUUUUUUUUUUUUUUUUUAACAGAUAGUUUCUGUUUUGAUUAAGGUCUGUAGUAAUUGUGUAAGUGUUGGUGGUACAUGAAGGUUUUAAACUUGAAGACAUGUUUGGUUUUAUACUGAGUCAAGAUCAGUAACACUUCCUAUUCAAAUAUAUGAAAAGAUAAUUUCACCAUAUAUUUUUUAUUUCUACUAGGAAUGUGGAGACAUACACUUUGCAUUUUCAAAAUCUCAUAAAUCCUUAUGUAGAAUGUGAUAAGGUAUAGUACAUUACAAAGUAUAACAUUCAACCAAUAUAUUUCUUGUGAUUUUAUUGAUGUUAAAAUACUGAAGUACAUUCCUACCUAACUGGGUUUUCUAAGUCCUUUCCCCGUGACUGCUUCCUCAGAUUAACCCUGAAUAAAGAGUUAACAUCUGGUAGAAUAAUGGACUUCAGACCUCUUCUCUUGCAUUGCUGCAAAUCACUCUGAGGACCCUCUGCCAUUACAGCCAGUAAAUAUUUUCUAUAUUACCUGUACACAUAAUAAAAAUUUGCCAUAAGUAUUUAAAAUAACAGAAAUAUAAGGAUACCUCAAGAAGUUCAUGGAAAAUGAAAUUAAAAUGUAAAUUUAUUUUGGUGGAAAAAUUGAAAUUCAUAUGUAGUUUCUUCAUAACUGCAUUUCUCAUUAACCACUCUUGGAGAGAGAGAGAGAGAGAGAGAGAGAGAGAGAGAGAGAUUGAGAUUGAGAUUUUCCAUCUGCUGGUUCACUCUCCAAAUGGUCACAAUGGCCAUGGCUAGACCAGAUUGAAACCAGGAGCCAGGAGCUUCUUCUGGAUCUCUCACGUGGGUGCAGGGGCUCAAGCACUUGGGCCAUCUGGAUACUUUUCUAGGCACAUUAGCAGGGAGCAGAACUGGAAGUAGAACAGCCAAGACUUGAACUUAUGCCCAUAUGGGAUGCCUGUGCCACAGGUGACAGCUUUACUUGCUGCACUUAGCGCCAGCCCCAGGACUCAACAUUUUGAGCCACUGCCUGCCACAGUGGGUAGCAGCAGGAAGAUGGAAGGUAGAGUAGAGGUGGACCAUGAACCCAGGUAUCCAUAGUGGCUUUUUAACCACUACACCAAAUGCCUGCUACUCCGUGAACCUUUUUAAGUAACCUCAUGUGAAUAGAGUCCUACCAACUUUGCCAAAAAUAAAUAGUAGCUAAUUUGAGCAGUGAAUAUUUCUGAAUAUUUAGGUAUUUCACAGCAUAGAUGCUUCUUUUAUAUGACUUGGAGUUAAAACAGAAAUAACUUAAACAUGAUAGGUUGUCAUUGGUCAUAAAUUGAAUUGGGCUAGGAGAAAAUCAUAUGAGGCAAGCCGAAGGACCAAAAUUAAGCAGAUGUUAUAAAUUUUCCCGAAAGUGAGCAUUGGUCCUGAUGAGUCAAUUGUGUAUAUAAUUUGGGCUGCUGAGUAAUCAACACUUGAUUUUCUGAAGGUCGCCAUCUAUAUGGUAAUAACCAUAGGACACACUCAUAAUACAAUCAGAAUUAAUGAUUUUCUGAACAAGCAUUAGCUGUCACAGUUGUGUGUUUUAGAUAUCAGACUGUCCCCUGAGGGUACCAUGCCUGCUUAUCCAACUUAUGUUGGAUAAGCAUAAAAGAAUCCAUUUUAAAACAUUCUUAUAAAUUAAAAUAUAUUGUGGCAGAAAUGGUGACUAUCAUCUUAACUAUGACACAUUUGGUAACUUAGAUUUGGACAUGUUUUUAAAAAUUCUGUAUUCUUACAGAAUAAUGGCAUCCCAUUGCAUUUGAAGAAUGAUUAUAAGAAAUAAGGAGAUCCCAGGGAUAGAAUAGAAGAGCCUUGGGAAGGGCACAUGGUAAUGUCCUUAAUAGCUGGAGGGCUGCUACAUAUAAGAGGGAUUAGCGCUGUUCUGUGUAGCCUUGGAGAACAGAAACAUUAACAGCUGUUUGAAGUUGUAAGGCAUCACAUUUCAGUUGAACACUAUCAAGGAGUUUCUCAUAGUUAGAGCUUCCCAGAGUUGGAAUGGCCUGUCCUGGGAGGUAGUGAGUUCCUUCAUGUGUGCAGUGGGAAGCUCUGAUCUAACCUCCACUAUGACAAUAAAGAAUAAAUGAGGCAGCUGAGGAACAACUGGUCAGAAGUGGUGGGGUUGGGGGUUGGUUUUGUGUCCUUGAGAAUCAGUCACAAGCAUACCAUGCUCAAGUAUCCUAUCCUAGCCUCUAAAAGAGAUUAAAUAUGAAUUCCAUGUCACUGUGAUGGAUUCCCACCCAUCUGAUUUGUCACUGUACUACCUAGCAUUCUUAGGUGGGAUAUUUGUGAAGGAAUUUUGGUAUUUGAUUCUCUUAUAUGUAAAAUAAAUUGCUCUUGUUUUUUUUUUCUCAGCAGUCUUUCUGUUAGACUUCGAUACUAUGUACUAUCACCAAUUAAUCAUUCUCAGUUAAAAUAAACAUGGUACAGAAUUGAAGCCUUCAAAUUUAACACCCACACCUGCACACACAUACAUGUAUACACAUGCACACUUUGGUGUACUCCAGGGUUUAUGCCAGCAAGUAUUUAUAAGACUGGUUCUAACUAAACUGCAGGGUUACAUUUACAAGAAGAUGGGGAUAUAGUUAGGCACAGCAUGAAGUUAGCAAACUGAACCUGCAGUUGUGGUUGGAGCAUAAAGUGUUGAAAAAUAGCAGCAAAAGAGAAGCACUUUCCUAAGUACACUGAAAAUCAAAAGGAGAAAACAAAGAUAAAGGUACAUGUAUAUACUUCACUUAUUACAAAUAAAGUUGACCUUUAUUUUAGACAUAUUUUACUCCAAAGUCUUUGAUGUUUAAAUAUCUUUUACUGCCACUUUUAGAUUAUUUAUUUUCAUAUUAUUUGAAAAGCAGAGAGACAGACAGAGGAUGGUUCACUCUCUAACCAGCUCUAACAGCCAGGUCUGAUUCAGGCCAGUGCAGGAUCCUAGAACUCAAUCGGGGUCUCCCAUGUGAGUGGCAGGAAGCCAUCUACUUUAGCCAUUGUCUGCUACUUCUCAGAGUGUGCAGUUCUAGGAAGCUGGAAUAAGAAAUGGAGCCAAUAAUUAAGCCCAGGCAAUUUGAUAUGGAAUAUGAACUUCCCAAGCAGCAUCUUAACCAGUGCACCAGUUGCCUGCCCACUACCACUUUCAUUUAAACAAUUAUUAUUUGAGAGACAGAAAUAUAGAGAGCAAAAGCUCCCAUCUAUUGGUUUACUUCUGAGAUUCCUGCAGUGGUUGGGGCUGGACCACGGUCAGGGCUGAGGUCAGGGCAGAGCUGAGGGGGAACUCAAUCCAGGUCUCCCACAUUGGUGACCACCACCACUGCCUACCAGAGUCCACAUUAGCAGGAUACUAGAAUCAGGAGCUGGAUGCAGGUAUUGAACCCAGAGAAUGGUGGGAAGAAUUACUAUGUUUCUAAAGUGGUAGUUAUGAAAUGAAUGCAAAAUAAAUAAAUAAAUAAAUAGAAGCAGACUAUCUAGAACUUGAACCAGGCACUCAGAUAUGGGGUGCUGGUGUUCAAGGAGUAAUGUAAUUGCUUUACCAAAAGCAUAACCUACUUUUCACAAUUUAAUGUGCUUGCCAUAGAUUGUAUAAACUUCUAUAUAAACCACAAGCUAAUUCUUCAAUGAUAAAACCCAAUAAAUCUUAAUAUCUAACAUUUAUUAAAGUCUUGUUAUAUUAGGAAGUGCCUUAAGCACCUCUCAUCUGAUCUGAGCAACAUACUCUAGUGCCAUAAUUUCACAGACAAGAAAACAGAAGCUUAGGGAUUAAUAGCUUGUCAGAUGACACAUACCUAUGCAGGUGAUGAAUCAGUGAUUCUUGCUAUUAAUUUCACAUGGUCCAAAUAUCAAUAUUUAUUGUAUGUAAAAUAAACUAAAUCCCUUAAAAAGUAUGCUAUCAACAUAGAUGAAUUUAUUAUCUCUUUUACACCAUUAAUAAUUACUUGAUCUCCAUAAAAACAACAUAUAACUGGAUGUAUUUAUGAAUAUGCAAAAUAUGGGGAUGAAUAAGAACAAUAAUAUGAUAUUCUGUUUUUAUAUUAUGGUUUCAGAAUAUUACUAAUGUUAUUUGAAAUGUUACUCUAUUUGAAGAGUAAUUAUUUUGGUCUAUUUAAAAAUUGAUAACUUGAAGUAAAAUAUUGCAAAGAGUGAAGCAGAGGUAACAUAAAGAGACUUCCGGUUUGAACACUAACCAUGUGACUGUGCAUUAGUUAAUCUAAUAUAAGAUGUUUUAAGGUGAAUCUUUAUUAAUUUAUUUGUAUGUGAGAGAAAGAGAUUGAUCGAUUAAUUUCCCAUCUAAUGGUUACUCCUCACAUGCCUGUAAUAGACAGGGCUGAACUAAGCUGAAUCCAGAACUGGGAACUCAGUACAGGUCCUGCACAUGGUUGACAGGGACCCAAUUACUUGAGGCACCACGUGCUGUCUCCUGGAUGCACAUUAGCAGGAAACUGGAACCUAGAAUGGUUUCUCAAACCCAAGUACUCUGAUGGAAUGUGGAUAUCUCAGGUGACGUCUUAACCACUACACCAGUCACCCAUCCCUAACGCUUUUAAGCUUCCAAUUUGUCAUUUACAAUGGAAUCUAAAGCUAUUAUGACCUCCACAGUUGUAAGGAUUAAAUGAGGUAAUCCAUAUCAAGUACUAUAAAGUAUUGCUCAGUAAAUGUUAGUAUAUUAUGUAAUGCUAUAGUAAUAGUACUACUAUGAUAACUAAGACCGUUUAAAGCCAAAGAAUUAAGUAUAAUGAAUUGAAAGUUACAAAAUGUUAAAUAUGAGAAGAUCAUGAAUUUUUCCAUUUCUCAUAAUUUGAACUUGAAUUCAAAACUCAUGAGGUAUUAAUGGUUUGCAGAAUAGUUGUAUAUAUGGACUGGAAUGAGCACUGUAAGUAGACCUGGGGAAGAAUCUGGCUCUCUCUGAGGGGCAGUUUUCUCAAAUCAUUUUUCCUUCAUAUUCUGUUUUUAUAGUUUUGGUAUUAAAAAAAAGAGCUUAGAGAGACAGUUUUGUUCCAAAGAUUUAUGUUUACCUGGCAAACUCAGAUCCUCUGUCCUUUCAUCCUUAUUGUUUUUUAAAGUGCCUUCAAGAGAAAAUGGCUUUUAAUCAAAUUCAUGAGAUGACUUUUUAUGUUACACUUUAUAGGCAUUUAAACUUUUCAAGAUAGGACACAACUAAUGUAAUGUAUGACUGAAAGUAUUUUUGGAAAAUUUCUGCAUGCUAGAGUAGACUUCUUAAGAUCUGUAUAAAAAUACUGAACAAAUUUUGUCAAAUAGAAGAUAUCUAGUAAAUUAUUGUAUCAAAUGCUUUUGCUAAAGUAUAACUGUUUUAGAGCCUAAUUAGUUAUAUUUAGAUAUAUAUGGAGUCAGCUAAAAGAUACACAUCAUAAAGUUUUUGAUUCACAGACAUAUAUUGAAAAUGCACAUUUGUUUAUUUGAACUGGCAUACCUUAAAACCUUUCAUUAUAAAAAGCAUUACUGGGCUGGCACCGUGGCUCACUUGGUUAAUCCUCUGCCUGCAGUGCCAGCAUCCCAUUUGGGCGCCGGGUUCUAGUCCUGGUUGCUCCUCUUCCAGUCCAGCUCUCUGCUGUGGUCCGGGAGGGCAGUGGAGGAUGGCCCAAGUGCUUGGACGCCUGCACUCGCAUGGGAGACCACGAAGAAGCACCUGGCUCCUGGCUUUGGAUUGGUGCAGCUCUGACCGUGGUGGCCAUUUUGGGGGUGAACCAACGGAAGGAAGACCUUUCUCUCUCUCUCCCCCUCUCUCUCUCUCUCUCUCUAACUCUAUCUGUCAAAAAAAAAAAAAUUACUGCAGUGGGCAUUUGGCAUAAUGGGUUAAGACACUGGGAUGUUUACAUCUAAUAUCAGAGUUCCUGUGUUUGAGUUCUGGACCUUCUACUUGUUAAAUUCUUGAUAAUGCAAAUCCUGGGAAGCAGAAGUGAUGGUUCAAGUUGUUGGGUUCCUGCCACCAGUAUGGGAGACGUGGAUUGAGUUUCUGGUCUUAGCCCUGUCCAACUCAGUUGUAGGCAAUUGAUGAGUAAACCAGUGGAUAGGCGAACUGCCUGCCUGCUUGUCUGUCUGUCUCUCUUCCUUUCAAAUAAAUAAAACAAAUAAAUACAAUUAAAAAAUACUAAUGGGAAGGGCCAUUUUAGCUCUUCUAAAGUUGACCCUUUUCUUUUUUGCAAUAACCUCAAACUCCCUACAGCCAGUGAAUUAGAUUAAAAAAAAAAAAAGCUAUUUCUCCUGUUUACCAAUGUAGAGAUGUAUAAUAAUGCUGUGAAUUCGCCAUUCUGGCAAAAAAAAAAAAAAAGCAUAUCUUUAUAAAUUUAGGUCAUUAUCUUUAGGAAUUUUGUACACAACUCUACCGCUUGUCAUUAUCUUAUUUAGCUGGCAGGUGGUGCUCCAGAACAAUAUGGGCAGUGGGGAUUUGUGAUUAGAUUUCUAUCAGAGAUCCUGGGACAAACUGUGAACCUAACUCUUAAAGACUUUGAAAGGAGCAGUUGAAUUACUAAAAAAUUUCAUAUGAGGAUAGUAACCCAACAGAAUAAAUUCAAGAAAGCAAAUUUUUUUUUUUACAUUUUAAAUGUGCUUUACAUGAAAACUUUUAUCUUGACUGGAAUUAAGAUCUCAUGUAACUUCAACUAUACUAUAUACUUAAAAUCAGAUCAAUAAAUUAGAAGAUCAAAUGGUAAUCCAUAUUUAUACCACUAAUUUCAGUUCAUUGAUGUUCUAUUUUUGUUAUUGUUAUGACAUUCUCUUCAAGUUAUGGUUGAUUUUAAAUUUAGAACAUUGAAGUUUUAACUAUAUAUCUGAAUGGAAAGAUGUUUUAAAAUAUGUUUAUCUAAGUAGUAUGUCCUGAUAUAUUGUAAGUUCAACUUCAUGAAUGUAUUCCAUAAAUGACAACUUGUAGUUGUAACUAUGGUAACCCUUCAUCAGGUACUUCGUGGUGUACAUUGAGAGUGGUAAGGUAAUGGAAAUGAUAGCAAUUUAUGUUCAAGGUUUGAAUUUACAAAGAGGAUGUGCUGAUUUCAUGAGAAAAGCAGGCAUAUGCGACAGGAUAAGCUGGAUGGCUGGAGAUGGAUUAACCACCAAGUAACAUUCAAUCUGUUUUUCUUUCCUUUAUUUUGCUGCAUGCUGCUUUUGUUUUAGAUCCUGUUCUCUUCCACUCUUGAGUGGUUCUAAUUGCAUCUAUGAAUCAAGAAUCUACUCAUUCUGCUCUUAAAAAGCAGUCUUAAUCAUUUGUUGCCAGUCAAUAUUGUACUUAAGAAACAUUCUAGCAAGUAUCUUUUCACUCUAUGGUGAGCCAUUUUGUUACUGUUUUUGACUGUUGUUUACAUCACUGUAAUUUUAAAGUUCUACAGUGUUUGUUAGGGGUUUAUGUAUUUAUGAAUUAACACUUUGCCCUAACACCUCCCACUUAGUAUCAAAGCAGCUCUCUUUUCUACUGGUACAUUUGGAGGAGUUUAUCAUGAUUCUAAUUCUGUCACUGAUUUCCUUUUAGUAGUGAUUUGAUAUGUAAUUGUGUAUAGCAAUUUGUGUUUUGAUAUUUCAUUUACUAUCAGAAAAAGGCUCUGUUAAACAUUGAAGGUUAGUUUGGCUUAGCCCCCACAGCAUGGAAAACAAGAUGCAGACCUCCUGUUGUACAGUGUUGAUUUGGCUGUAUCUAUUAUUUAAGUCUGAAAAUAAGAGAAAGGUCUAUAUAUUUUUGCUGAAUUAAUUUGUCUUAAAUUUGAUAAGAUUGCACACCUUCAAGGAGAAAGCAUCAUAUUCUGAGUUUAAUUUCUCAGAUAUAAACUUUACUAAAAUUUUACAAAUAUUCUUCCAGAAUUUGAGUUUUGCAUCCUUAUUUAGUGGUUGCAAAUAUACAAAGUAGAUUAUCUGCCUGAAGUGAAUACAGUUUAAGAGCAGAAAAUUACUGAUUUCAAAAAUGAGUUGUUGGGGACAGCACUGUUGUGUAGUAGGCUCAAUCUCUGCUUGCGGUGCCAGCAUCCCGUAUGGGUUCUGGUCUGUGUCCCCACUGCUCCUCUUCCAAUCCAGCUCGCUGGUAUUGCCCUGGGAAAGCAGUAGAAGAUGGCCCAAGUGCUGGGGCCCCUGAAUCCAUGUGGGAGACCCAGAAGAAGCUCCUGGCUUCAGAUUGGCCCAACCUUUGCUGUUGCAGCCGUUUGGGGAGUGAACAAGUGGAUGGAAGACCUCUGUGUCUCUCCCUCUUUCUGUAUGUAACUACUUCUCAAAUAAAUAAAUAAAUAAAUAAAUAAAUAAAUAAAUAAAUCUAUCUUCCUCCGAUUUUACUGCAGCCAUGUAUAUUUCCCUUUGUCUUUUCAUGCCGCGCAGUACCUUUAAUUUCACCAUGACCACUAUAGCUAUCAAUUUGUUCUUCAAAAAGAAUUCUGAUUUUUAUUCUUCCAAAGAGAGGUGAAGUUAUGUGCAUUGAUUAAAUUUAAUUGUGUUUAUAUUACAUAAGAGUUGUAAAUCAGGCUUUAAAAUUUUUUGAAUUUUCUAAAGAAAUGACAUUUUGAAAUUAUUCCACUUCAAUAGAAUUUUUUACCUUUUUUUUUUUUUUAAAGACUCUAGUAUUAACUAUCUGUAGUUCUGUUUCUAAGAAGACAGCUAGUAAGCUUUUCUGGAUUUCUUUGCAUUUUGAGAAACAGAGUUUAGAAGAAGUUUAGGUUUUUAUAAGUUUUUCAUUCUUCCUGACUCAAACUAGUGCAUAGGGCUCUGGAACACACAGGAUGGCAGCAGUUGCAGUCCCAAAGUUUUUUCAGGGGUGAUGAUUGAACAGCUGUCCUUUUGACUGUGAUCCCUAUUUGGAAUAGUCCCAGGACUUGUGAAAGAAAUCUGCUCUAGGAUUAUUGCUGACAUGCAUGUAUUCAUGUCCUCAGACCUUCCAUUCACCCCCCACCCCCAGGAUCACUGCUUCUCUCUGAGCAGUUAGAUGUGGAAUGGUGACUGUGCUAGUAGAUAUUUCCUCUGCACAGUACUGCCUCCUUUUUUUUCUACUUCUCCCUUCCUGUAUUUCAUGUAUGAACAAUUAUAUUUAAGAACUUGGGCUAUUCAUUUUCUAAAUGAUUUGGAAAUUAUGAAGUAAAAAUUACCAAAGUUGUUCUUUACAACAACAAAGACAGAAAUUGUUCUUGAGAGAGGCUUACAGUACCCUCAGUGGUUUAUUUUUACACAAAUAUUUUGAUUCUUAGUGGUUUCAUGCAUCACUGCAGUUCUCUUAGCUGCAAAUUCUCCUUGUUAGGCUCUAAAGUUUUUACAAAUAUGCAAAUGUUCAUGUAUAUUUAAUAACUUUGACACUCUUGAAUGUUCUGUUUCUCAAGAUUUUUAGGUGGUCUUGGGAAAAUCUGUGAUGAAUUACUUAAUUUUUAAUUGCAAAUUAACAUUCAUUCUUAGAUAUAAUUUGCAAUAAGCCACAAUGGAUUAAAAUAAUUGCUUUCUUUUCUAUAUUGAGAUCAGAGAUAAGCAAUAGAAUUAUGUUUUCUAGGGUUAUUUUUUCAAUGCAUUUACUCUUUCUGACCCUUCCAGGCUGUGGUAUACCUAUAUAGAAAAUCAGGCUUUAUUGGCUGUUAGUAUUUUAGAUUUACUUAUGGUCAUUACUGUAGAUCUAUGAUAGUUUCACCAGAAGCUGUGCAUUAAAUGUUUCAUAACAAAAGACAAUGAAAGUUACCUGUCUAUUCCCUAUUAAUGCUAUUCUUUGAAGUUUUCUAAGUUUUAGCUAUAUUCAAAUAAUGUAUUUUUACCGAUGGAAAGUUGACAUGGCACCCCUCUGCAGGGUUUUGUUAUGUUUUAUUUCAUGCAGUGUGCAGCAUCUUAAUUCUUAUAAUAACAGGGUUGCUUGUUUGCCAGCAGGAAGCCCCUCAAAGCAAGAUGAUGCUUCUUGGUUGCUGGAUUUCUAUAUAAAUAAAUAACAAUUCACACAUUCCUUUUCCAAACUGAAGUCAGUGAGAUAAUGCUAUAUAACUUUUUUUCCAUUUAAAAAAUAGCUGUAUUAUGUCAGUGACCUGUAAUAAAUGGCACUGCAAGGAGAAGCGACAGCCUCAUUCACCUUGCAUCCAUGCAGAAAUAACUGAGCUCUAUUUCCAUGGCUGGAGGGAGAAGAAGAAAGAAGAGAGUGAAAGAAAAGAACUGACCUUGGAUUGCAGUCAGUCUCAUGCUAACAAGGGGGAGUUUACACUGACUAUUUUUACUACAUUGAAUUUACCACUCACUGCUUUGCAAAUAUUCCCUGUACUCCAAGUCGGUGGGACUAUAGUGAACAGUCUUGCCAUUUUCCUGAAUUCUAUAUAUUUUCAAUUAAUCUUUUGUCAUGGGCCAAAUAUUGCAUUGAUUUUUUUUUUUUUACUGAUUAAACCUUAUAAUACAGUAAUCACAAAUGCAAAUUUUGGACAAGGUUGGCACCAGAUGUUUACACUUUGUAAUUUUUGAUAAGGGACUAUUAUCUUCUUCUACUCUCCCUAACAAAUUCCGUUGAUCAUCAACAUUGCAAAAUGUUGAAUAUAACAACUAAAAUUAGCUACAUGUUACUCAACAAACUAAAGCUAGGGCCUUUAAAUUCUUUGUCAAUUAACAUUCUAAAAUAUUUGAUGUUUUAGAAUUUUAACUGUAAUUCUAAGAUUUCCAACAGGUAUUGUACAGGGAAUAAAGGAAACUUUCCUGGUGAUUAUAGGCCUGAAACUAAAUGCUUUACUUGGAUUUGUUUCACAGGAAAUUUGUGGAAAUCAUGCAAACAUCGUUCAGUGGAAUUCAGUCUGAAGGCCUUAUUUACACAUUUGUUUAGCCAUUCCUUUUUCUAACACCUACCAGCCUUGCACAGCAGUGAAAUCAGACAGUCUGAUGUUACAGAGAAAGACCAAAGAUAUUUCCUCCCAGCUCCUAAAUUAGAAUCAAUCUCUAUAGAAAAUCAAGAGUCUAAGAUUUUGUAUUUGUCUUUUACAAAAGAACAUGUACAAUAACACCUCAUUUAUAACCUCUGAAUAAUUUAAGAAAUACGUAGAAGUUCACUGUACUCUAGUGAAAAUACAGAUUAUUUUGGUACAAACUAUAUUAAUUGUAUUUUAAUGUUUGCUGUGUUUUUGAUGUCUGUGAGGCAGAUUGUUCUCUGGAAGAGUUCUCAGAAUGAUCAUCCGUUCCAGUUAUUUUGUUUUGUAGAACAUAAAUUGAAGACUCAGAGAGGAUAUUCACUUAAGAACAAGUAGCCAGUCAUUGGUAGAGGCUGGAAUUUAUGUUGUCUGAAACUUUUCUAUUGCUCAGGCAACCAGCCCUAACUGGGGAGGGACACAGAGCUCACUACAGUUUUUACGGUGCAUUUAAUAGAUAACUUUUAUUUUUAUUUUAUCUAUUUUAAAGGCAGAGUUAUAAAAGAGGAGAACACGCACACGCGCACGUGCGCACACAUAAACACGCACACACACGCUGUGAGAGAAAGGGAAGCUGGGGCUGGGCAAGGCCAAAACCAGGAGCCUGGAACUCCAUCUGGGUCUCCUAUAUAGGCACAGGGAAUCAAGCACUCAGGCCAUCCUUUGUUGCUUUCCCAGAUGUAUUAGCAGGGAGCUGGAUUAGAAGUGGAGCUGCCCAGUAUGGGAUCCCAGUAUUACAGGCAUGGCUUAAUGUGCUGUGCCACAAAGCUAUCCCUGAUCAUUUUUAUCAUUAAAAUGACAUUUAUUUCAAAAAAAUUCAAAAUUCACACAUGCAGAAAUGAAGAAAAUAUCAAUUUUUUUGACAGGCAGAGUGGACAGUGAGAGAGAGAGAGACAGAGAAAAAGGUCUUCCUUUGCCGUUGGUUCACCCUCCAAUGGCUGCCGCGGCCGGCGCGCUGUGACCAGCGCACCACGCUGAUCCGAAGGCAGGAGCCAGGUGCUUUCUCCUGGUCUCCCAUGGGGUGCAGGGCCCAAGCACUUGGGCCAUCCUCCACUGCACUCCCUGGCCACAGCAGAGAGCUAGCCUGGAAGAGGGGCAACUGGGACAGAAUCCGACCCCCCGACUGGGACUAGAACCUGGUGUGCCGGCGCCGCAGGCAGAGGAUUAGCCUAUAAAGCUGUGGUGCUGGCAGAAAAAUAUCAUUUGUAAUCCCGCCACUUAAAAACAGCCACUAUUAACACUUGGCACUUAGUAACAUUUUGCAAGUUCAUGAAUAUAUAAAUAUAUUCCCUUAUGAUGGUCUUUACAUUUUCUUUUUAAAUCUUUAAUUAUACCUUACAUGUAAAAACCUGCAGAGAAUUUUCAGUAAAUCUUAGGAAAUAAUUGUGAUUAUCUCUUCAAAACAACUUCAUUCAAGAUCAAUAAUUAAGAAAAAAUAAGCUUUUAAUUUAAAGUAUACUUUUUAAAUUUAAGAGGCUGGGAGAAGGAGAGAGAGUGACAGACAGAGAGCUUUCCCAUCCACUUUUUCACUCCCCAAAUGGUAGUAGGGUGGAGGCUAGGGCAAACCAGGGAUGGGGAACUGAGUACAGGUAUCCCGUGUGGGUGAACUACCACCUGCUGCUUCCCAGGGUGUACACUGGCAGGAACUUAAUCUGGAGUGGAACUGAGAGGUGAACCUAGGCAUUCCAUCUGAGAUGAAAUGUAAGCAUCUAAUGGUAGUAAUUCCUUUAUGCUCAAUUAUCUUCAGUUGUUACAACUGUUAGGCAGGUCUGAAAAAUUUUAAUACUUUGAUAAUUAUUGGUUCAUUACCCUGAAGAAAGUUUCUAUCAAUUAAUUCUUCUGACAUCCAUUUCAAAAUUUAUUUCUUUUAAAAUAUUUUGUUUUUAAAAGGAUUUCCUAAAAUGAAUAUAAAAAUCAUUAAAUGUUUUUAAUAUCAAUGUACUAGUGCCUUUUUUUUGAAUUUUUUAUCUUCUUAAUGAAAUACAAAAGAUAUAAAUAUUAUUUUCUGGAACUGUUUUUUUUAAAAGAUUUGUUUUAUUUAUUUGAAAGACAGUUACAGAGAGAGGUAGAGACAGAGGGAGAAGAGAGGUCUUCCAUCCACUGGUUCACUCCUCAAAUGGCCGAUCCGAAUCCUGGAACCAGGAGCUUCCUCUUGGUCUCAGUCUCCCAUGCAGGUGCAGGGGCCCAAGGACUUGGGCCAUCUUCGACUGCUUCCCCAGGCCAUAGCAGAGAGCUGGAUAGAAAGAGGAGCAGAAGGGACUAGAACCAGCGCCCAUAUGGGAUGCUGGUACUUCAGGCCAGGGCUUUAACCCGCUGCACCACGGCACCGGACCUUGGAACUGUUCUUAAAUAAUAGUAUAUACUGGGGCUGGCGUUGUGGCACAGCGGGUUAACACCCUUGCUCCCGCAUCCCAUAUGGUCAGUGGUUCGAGACCUGGCUGCUACACUUCCGAUCCAGCUCUCUGCUGUAGCCUAUGAAAGCAGUAGAAGAUGGCCCAAGUCCUUGGGCCCCUUCGCCAGCAUGGGAGACCCCAAGAAGCUCCUGGCUCCUGAAUUCAGGUGGCUGCAGCUCCAGCAGUUGCAGCCAAUUGGGAAGUGAACCAGCGGGUGGAAGACCUCUCUCUCUCUCUCAACCUCUCCUCUCUCUGUGUAACUCUUUCAAAUAAAUAAAUAAAUCUUUUUUUUUUUUUUAAAGAAUAGUAUAUACUGUGUGUUGAUUAUAAUAUUUCUUUUUUAAAAUUAUAUUUUAAAAUGUUUUAUAGUAUUGCUACAUAUACAGUAAUUCUGAGUUUCUUUAAAAUACAUGUUUAUGUUUUUAGGUUUAUAAUAUCUUUUUAAAAAUUAACACCCAGAAAGAAAUAUAUAUUAUCUUCUUUGAUCCCUCCUCCAAAAAUCUAACUUGAAUAUUUAAUUAAUCUGUUAACUGUAAACCAGUUAGGUAAGGAUCAAAGUGUAUUUUUUAAGUCUUUCAUAGAAAUGUAAAUUCAAUAAUUUGUUUAACAAAAACAUGCAUCAAAUACUGAAUAGUGACAAAUUGAUUUUGAACACUCUGUGUUCAGUGUGGAUUGAAAGCUCUGAGCCAUAUACACAUAGAACCAAAAACAUUUGUUUUCCUUUUUCCCGUACAAGCUUAUAUUUUAAUAGUUCUGAAGUUGCAGACAUUUCUAUUUUAUCACUUGAAAAGUUCCGUUAUAUAAAUUAGUGAAUGCUUACUUAUAUAUGUUUUGAAAUUAAAUGUCACAUGUUCCUUUGAAAAAUAUUUCCAUAGUUUUUGUCUCCUCUACUGGUAGCUGUUCAUCUUCUAAAAUUAAUGAAAUGCUUGUAAUAAUAUGGUUUUCUGACUAAAUUCAUGCUGUUGCUUUUUCCCCUGUUUUUUGUUUUCUUUUUGCAUGAGACUACUUCUACAUGUAGUAGUUUAAUAUACAAUACUAAAGUUGAUAUCUGUAUAUCAUAGGUAUGUAUGAAAAUUAAUGUAUUUGAAUGUUAAAAACUACGUAAACUAAGAAUAUUUUUAUACAUUAAAGUGAAAAUUGAUGUGCACAUCAUUGAGUUUAAGUAUCUUAACUUUCUUUGUAACAAAUAAAAUCGUUGAUAUUUUAUUUUAAGGGGGAAAAUUUCAGUAUUUUACCAUGUUAAACAUUGGACACUUUGAACGAAUAUGUUGUUUAUAGUUCUUUGAGAAAUUAUGGAAUAUGUACUCUAUAGAAUACUACACAGCAGUAAAAAAAAUGAAAUCCGGUCAUUUACAAGCAAAUGGAGGAACCUGGAAAACAUAUGCUGAGUGAAAUAAGCCAGUCCCAAAGGGACAAAUAUCAUAUGUUCUCCCUGAUUGGUGACAACUAACCGAACACCAAAAAGGAAACCUGUUGAAGUGAAAUGGACACUAUGAGAAACAAUGACUUGAUCAGCCCUUGUCCUGUUGAGGAACAACUUACUACUUUAUUCCUUUUAGUAUUUUUUUGUUCUACUUAAUACCAUUGGUUGAACUCUUUAAUUAACACAUAAUUAUUCCUAGGUGUUUAAAUUUAACUGAAAAGUCAUCCCUGUGAAAUAUAAGAGUGGGAAUAAGAGAGGGAGGAGAUAUACAGUUUGGCACAUGCGUAAUUGGACUUACCCCUAAUGGUAGAGUUAGAAGCGUGCCAGGGGAUUCAAAUUCAAUCCCAUCAAAGUGGCAUGUACCAAUGCCAACUCACUAGCCAAAGUGGUCAGUUUCAGUUCAUAAUUGAUCAUAAUGAUAGGAUUAAGAGUCAAAGGGAUCACACAAACAAGACUAGUGUCUGCCAAUACUAAGUGAUAGAAUAAAAAAGGGAGAGAACAAUUCAUCAUGGGAAGCGGGAUACACAGCAGACUCAUAGAAUGGCAGAUGCCCUAAACAGCUUUGGGAUUUAGUAUCUGUAUGAUGUUGGAAAAUCUAACUAACUUCUUUGUGCCUCAGGAUCCUCAUUUUGAAAUGAGGAAAAAUACUUUUUCAGCCCAGGUAUGUUCUGAUGAUUAUAAAUAAAAAUAUGUGUGUUCAAGGUAUGUGUCACCAAAAUUUUUGGCUCAUGAGAAAUACUUGUGAAAUGUUACUGUAUUUUUAUAUGAGAGUGAUAACUAAUAAUGCUUUUGAUUAUCACAUUAAUUUAAGAAGCUUUGUCUUUAAUAUUCCAUUUUAGGUUGUUCAAUAUACAGAACAAAACAAUUCAUUUCAUUCAAUACAAUUUUAUUGUGUGGCUACUUCUUACUAGGAAAUGCAUCAAAAAUAUGUCAAAAUUCUAGUGAGGAGGUAUGUUACAAAGAGAGUAGCUUUCAUAUGUUUGUGAUAAAUCAUAAGCAAAAGAUACUCUGGAAUGAAAGAGGAACAUUUAGCCCAUCUUGCAAAUUGGACAAAAAAUUCUAUGUGAGAUGGUAUCUGAGAGGAGUCAUGAAGAUGAACUAUUAUCAGAUGAAAGAAGAGAGUAUCAGAUAGGGAAAUCUGCAGCAGUAGAUUUAAAGAAAUAAUUGGGAGGUUAAUUUGCCACCUGCUUAAUCCCAAAUCAGAAUGCCGGUUCAAGUUCUGGCUACCCUGCUACAAAUCCAGUGUCUUGCUAAUGCACCUGAGAAGGCAGCAGAAGAUGGCACAAGUCCUGGGACCACUGCCACUCAUUUUGGAGGCCAAGGUGAAGUUCCUUGGCCCUGUCUUCAGCUUGGCCCACACCUGGUUCUAGUGGCCUUAGGGGAGUGAACCCAGUGAAUGGAAAAUCUUUAGUCCUCUCUUUCUUUCCCUAUUUCUCAGUUGCUCUUUUUUUCAAAUAAAUCUUUAAAAAAAUGAAGUAUCUUCAAAAGUACAGUGGACAGUUAAUUCCGUGUGAUUAAGCAUUAGUAUGUCAGGAAGAAGCAAAGGAUGAAACUGAAGUGUUGAAGAUGUCAACAAGGGACUUUUAUGUUUUGCUAGGGACUUUUUUCCCUUUUAUUUUCUCCCUUAAAAUAAUUGAUGGUGUUUAACAUAUCAAUUUGAUAUACAGAAUUUGUUGUAAACUCAGGGUACAGGAUGCACUAUUCAAAUAAACUAAUGUAAAACAAUUCCAGUAUUCAGAUAUAGUGGCAUAUGUACAAUGAAAUAUUAAAGUACCCUGUAAAACACUUUUAGAACUGAUUUUGGAGACAAUCAAAUUUAUAUGAUUCUUCUUGGAAAGAUACUUGGAUUUGGCUUUGGGAAGGAGAGAAGUAAGGAGAGCAUAAAGAUUAAAGAACACUGGGGCUGGGGCUGGCUGGCGCUGUGUAGUAGUGGGUAAAGCUGCCGCCUGUAUUGCCAGCAUGCCAUAUGGGUGCUGGUUCAAGUCCCGACCCAGCUGCUCCACUUCCCAUCCAGCUCUCUGCUAUUGCCUGGGAAAGCAGUAGAAGAUGGCCCAAGUACCUGGACCCCUACACGCUCGUGGGAGACCCGGAAGAAACACCUGGCUCCUGGCUUUGGAUCAGUGCAGCUCCGGCUGUCGCGGCCAGUUGGGGAGUGAACCAGCAGAUGGAAGACCUCUCUCUCUCUCUCUGUGCCUCUCCUUCUCUCUCUGUAUAACUCACACUUUCAAAUAAAUAAAUAAAUAAAUAUUUUUAAAAAUAUUAAAGAACACAAAUUAAAGUACUCAGUACCAUUGAUCAAGCUCUGUGCUUAGUUCUUUAGCACAAGACAUCUACAUAAUUAUGACAACAUAGACCUGAUUAGAAUUUCUAAAUCAUAUCUACAUUUAAUAUGUCUAUUCAAUAUAAGUAUCUGUUAAAAAGGAAGCUGACAGUCUAGAGAGAUUAAGUAUUUGUAUAGAGUUAAAAAUGUUCAAUAGAUAUGAAGUGGGAAUAUAAAUCAAAUUUCACUUGAUUCCAAUGAUAUAGAUGGAAACCACUAGUGUGUAUUUCUCCUGCUUCCUUUAUUUCUUCCUCAGUGGCACAGUAAUAGUUCAGUUGUCUCCCGUCCCCUAGGAGAGGAUCACAGUUGUUCUGAGUAAAUUGUUACCCUGUCAUUUCCCAUACCAGUACUUGGUUCAGUCACAAAAAUGGGAUAGAAUUUUGAUCAAUGAAAGGGGAAGUCUGAUGCCUUUAAAAGAAAGAUUUCCUCAUAAUGAAAAGAGAUGGAGGCAGACAGCUUAAGUUGCAACUUGGGAUACCCACGACUGCUUGGUAUGGUCCUGUCUGCUUGGCUUCUGACCCAGCUCCUUUCUGAUGGAUACCCUGGGAGUUCAUGGUGAUGGCUUAAAUACUUGGGUCCCUGGUACCCAUGUAGAUCUAGAUUGAGUUCCUGGCUUCAGCCUUGGCCAUUCCUUGCACUUGAGGGCAUUUGGUGAGUACACCAUCUCUUUCUGCUUUUGAAUGAAUUGAAAAUAAAUAGAAUUAAAAAAAGAGAUAUACAGGGCACGUGGUCCUCAUUUUUGUCUAAGCAUCAUCAUGUCAGCAUGUGACACCAGACACUGGCAACCUAUCCUAUGUCAUGAUGAAGACAUCGAUGAUAUCUCAGAAGAGGCAAAGUGGUUUCUCCAUGAUAUUGUUUAGCCUCUGAACCAACCCUGGAUAUCUAUGUAGAUUUUCUAUGUGCAAAAAAUGAAAACAUUUUUUUACAGCCACACUUAAAGCCAAAUUCCUACUAUCCCUAGACUUUCAGUUAAAACACAUUGAAUUAGUUGGUCAGCUUUAUAAGUAACAAAUUCAUUGUGUUCUCCUCACUUUUAACUCCCUUUUUAUGGUCAUUAGGAAAAAAUAGGUAAGUCUGAAAACUUACCUAUAAAUAAAAAAACCUGUAAGCAUCUAUUAGUGUCAGAGAAUACAGAUCUGAAAGAGAGGUGACAAUGGAGAUUGCUGAAGACUGUUAGGCUCAUAAGGAAAACAGUUAUAAAUUCUCAAAUUGUUUUAUACAGAUAAUAAUUUCAUAUGGUUUAAAUUUGUCCUAAAUUUUGUAAUAGUUGCAAGAGAAAUAAUAAAACUAAGUGGCUCUUCCUUUGGAUACCUUUAAGUGUUUAUUACUCCCUGAAUACUACAUUUGACUUUUAGGUUAGCUAUGUGGUUAGACUGGAAAGUUUAUGUUCCAAAAAGUUUUCACUUUGGACAUUUAGUAAGGAAUAUUAAUUAGCUUUUAGUGAAUAGACAUGCUGUUUGGAGGUCUAAGACAAAUGGCGGCAUAAAAUGCUUUAAGAAGAAAUAAAAGAGAUUAAAACUGAAGUGGCAUCUAUAUACUUGCUACACUUCUCAUAUUACAUCGAACAUCACUGUUUGCAGGCACAAACAUUUUAGGUAAUAGAAGGAAGAUUAACUCUUUCUUCUCUUUUUAAAAUGCUUCUUUUCUUUUUUUGUAAAGAUUUUAUUUAUUUGAGAUGUAAAGUUAAAGUGACAGUGAGAGGGAGAGGCAGAGAGAAAGGUCUUCCUUCUGUUGGUUCACUCCCCAAAAGGCCGCAACGGCUGGAUCUGUGCCAAUCUGAAGCCAGGAGCCAGGUGCUUCCUCCUAGUCUCCCAUGCAGGUGCAGGGGCCCAAGCACUUGGGCCAUCCUCCACUGCUUUCCCAGGGCAUAGCAGAAAGCCGGAUUGGAAGAGGAGCAGCUGGGACUAGAACUCAGUGCCCAUUUGGGAUGGAUGCCGGCUCUGCAGGCGGAGGAUUAACCCACUGUGCCGUGGCGCAGCCCCUAAAAUGCUUAUUUUCUUGAACCCCUUCCAUAAACAAGACAUUAGGCAAAUCACUUAUAUGUAAAUUGUUGAAUUACAUUUUUGAGGUGAUAUUUUUUCUUGGUAUUUUGUUAUAAUUUUUUUUUUGACAGGAAGUUAGAGAGAGAGAGAGACAGAGAGAAAGGUCUUCCUUCCAUUGGUUCACCCCCCAAAUGGCCGCUAAGGCUGGCAUCCAAAGCCAGCAGCCAGGUGCUUGCUCCUGGUCUCCCAUGCGGGUGCAGGGCCCAAGCACUUGGGCCUUCCUGGGCCACAGCAGAGAGCUGGACUGGAAGAGGAGCAACCGGGACUAGAUCCCGUGGUACUGGCGCCGCAGGCAGAGGAUUAGCCAAGUGAGCUGUGGCGCCGGCCUGUUAUUAUAAUUUUAAUAACCAUAAAUCAUGUAGUUAUAAAAAAAAGCAUCCUUUAACAUUCCUGGUCAUUCCACAUGUAGAUGGAAACUUUUUUUAUUCAGUUUUUUAUUUAUUAAUGUGAAUUUGAACUAAAAAGUACUGUUAUUUUUCAAAUAUUUUUCCAAAUAGUCAUUUUAUUACUGGAAUAUAGUUUGAAACAUUAUAUUGUGUAACAAAUAUCCCACUUAAAUGUUGGAAAUUGUACUAUUUUAAGCAUUUUAGUCAGGUAAGUAUAAUAUACAACUUUGUUCAUGCCCUAGAUUAUUCUACCUAUUGACAAAUAUGUUGUCUCUUAUUUAAGGAAUUUCAUAGUCUGAUAACUCAUUUUGUUGCAACUAUACCAUUAUGCUUAUUUGUAGUUUAAUUUUUUAUCUUUUUAAUUUUUUCAAUUUUUAAUAAAAUUGUAUUGCUUUACUAUUUUAACCAAUCCUAUUUAAGACUUGAGGUAGUGAGAUGUGAGGUGGUCUGCAGAAUGUUUUAAAAGAUUAACCUCCAGGUAGACUUCUGCUUUCUUCUCCACUUUGUCUAACCAGUUUAUUACCUCUGUUGUUUACACAAACAUGUAGACAUCUGUACACUUUAGUUUUAUUUAUAUUACACAACAGUCAUAUUAGAAAUUACCCGAAUUUAUUGUUGAACUAUUCCACUAGAUGGAAGCGGUUAUAUGAAAAAAAUAAUCUUACCUAUAGCUAAAUGAUGAUGCUUUUAUGUCAUGUUUGGUAGAUAAGUGUGCUGUAAGUAAAUACACACACACAUACACGCACACAAAAUGAACAAUUUAAGUUCACUUUACUCUCAAUUGUAUACACACAAAUUGUGUGAAUGUGUGUGUGUGAGCGUUUGAGAGUAAAGUGAACUUAAAUUUAUGUGGCAUAUUUUUUCAGGUCUAAAAUAUUCCUAAUUCAUAAAUUCUAUUAUAUGCUUAUACUUUUUUUUAAGAAAAAAAUUAAUUUGAAAGGCAGUUACAGAGAGAGCGAGAGAGACAGAGAUCUUCCAGAUGUUGGUUCACCUGCCGAAAUGCUGAAACAGUCAGGAUUAGUGGAACUCCAUCCAGGUCUCCCAUGUGGUGGCACAGGCCUAACCACUUGGACCAUCCUCUGCUGCUUUCCCAGGUGCAUUAGAAAGGAACUGGAUCUGAAGAUUGCAGGCAGCAGUUUAAUAUGUUAUGUCAUAAUGCUGGCACAUGCUAAUAUACUUUUAAACAAAAUCUUGGAACAAUUGAUUGUAAACUUCUUGUUAAUUAAGCAUGGAGAGUAUUCUGAAGACCUAGAAUUUAAUAAACUGUUUCGAUAAGGAUCAGAUAUGGUCUAGUGAAAGCAAAAUUCAUAUAUGAAGCUGAAUAUGUGAAACCCAAUUGUCUUUAAGCUCAGCAUCCUCUUACAUACCUGGUAAAUUAACCAAUGAGUGGAAUCAUUUACACUGCUGUUUCUGGAUCACAAACUGUGUCAAACUCUGUGAUAGAUGCUUUCUAUAUAAGAUUUAAUUUGAAUUUGAAUGCCCUGCAGAAAGCAGAAUUUAAAUUCAUAUUUCUCUGACUCCAAAGCUUGCUGUUUUUCUUAUUUUGAUAUUUAUAUUAGGAAUAAGUAAUAAACUAUUUAAAGUAAGUUAUUUAUAGGUAAUUUUAAUAGCAAUGAUUCAUGUAAAAAAAGUUAAUUACUAAUAGUAUCUACAAAAUUUAACCUUAAUGUUAUUAAUACUUUAGUAUCAUUUAUAUUAGAAGGCAUUCUUAAGAAAAGACAUACCAAAUGGAAAUAAGUAUCAUAAUAAAAGAAAUUGUACAACAUAAUAUGAAACCAUGUAGUAAAAGGUAAAUAUUAUUUCUAUAUUUGCUCUGAGAUUUUAAAAAAAUUCUAAGUUGUCUUAGUUGUCAUACUCAAGUAACAAGGUUUUUAAUUACUUAACAUUUCCAUAGGUACUGGAAAAAUGCUGUGAGCAAAGUUCUAUGUCAGAUCUUCCCAAUUUGUACAUUGGUGGGAAUUUCCUAGAAUUAGAAAUUUUUGGGAGAAGAAACUAGUAUUUCAGUAUUAAUGGCAAUAUGUAACAAGACAUAAUGCAAAGCCAAGGGCAUUAGGAAACAAAGAAUUGUCACAUUAAUUCAAAACCUUAUAGUUCUUGAGAAGUUCUGGGAAAACUCGGAAGUUCAGAAGUAUCUGGUUAUGGAAUUCACAAAUAUGGGUUCCAUGCACCAUUUGAGAGAUUAAAUUUAAGGAGGCCAUGGGAUCUCUAAUUGCAGUUCAGUUGUGUAUGCUAACUUCAUGAUUAUUUGCUGAAGUUUAUAAAGAAUUGUAUGCCUUGAAUGUUUGUCUUCUUUGUAAGCAUUUGGCUGAGAAAGAAAAAAGUUAAACUUUCUCUGGAAUAAUUGACCCACAAAAUUUGACCCAUAAGUUACAACACAGAGCAUAAACCCAUAAAUAAUUUACUCUUAUUAGUUUGUCCUUAUAUAUUAACUGGUCAGUUUUAUGAAAUGAAAGUCAACCAAAACUGAUUACAGUAUAAUAGUAAUAUGUUUGGUCUACAAUUUUAUUUUACUCUGUUUACUUGGUAAUAAGUAGCUUGCUACUGUGUCAUCAAUGCUGUCAUAAAUAAAGGACCUUAAAAAUAUUAUUCAUAUCAAGCAGGUUAGGUAUAAAUAUGCUUGCAUUAAUUCAUUUUGCUUCCAGUUCCCACACCCCAGUGCAAAAGUACCCAAAUGACACCUGCAUAUAUAGUGAGUUGGCUGUUUUAUAGAAGAAAAUAAUUGACCUAGGGGUACCCACUGCUUUUAUAGCAAUCAGUAAAGAAGCCUCCUGUUUGUCCUAGAAAGAAGCAUUACCGUAUCUCUAAAGGUUUCUCACUGAAGACACAACUCUGCGAAAUAGCUCAGAUAAACAGACCUUGCACUCUUGGCACAGCUAUCAAGAUCUGUAAGUACACAAGAGACCACUUGAAAAAAUUGCCUUACCCAACAGUACUUUCCAAUUUUCUAACAUUUUUCUGUUUGCAAGUUCUUAUAUAUACAACCUGAUUUUAUCCUCACUUGGUGUUUAACACUCAUUUGCUCUUUUCAAGUGUAAGAAACAUUUAGACAUUUAACAGAUUUAUCCUUCAAUAAAUGUUUUCAACUCUCUAAGAACAUAUAUGUAUUACCUCUCUUUUGGUUAUAGUAUAAUUAUAGAAAAUCCACAAUGCUACCAAAACUUUACAUAUAUAGUUCUGUUUUUUUUUGUGUUCAGAUAUCAAUAUACUUGGCUAACACUAAGAUGUGUUCUACUUGUACUCAGGUACUACUUCAGUAAAUAUCCACAUUGUAUUCCCUAUUUAAAUGGCUUGGAAGAGGAUUGUACCAUGAAUCAGUCAUAAUGUAUUACUAAAUUAUUAUCAAACUUUAUUGUGCAUAAACACAUCUAAUGUAUUCUUUAGAAUUUUAGAUUCCUGGGUUCAGCUACAAAACGAGAUGCCUUUCUAUAGGUUUGUGUUCAGAUUAUGCAUUCACAAUUUUCUUUAGGAGUUUGAUGCAUUUACAGUUAAUAUUUGUUAAAAGGUUGGAUUUACUCCAUCCCUCUCAUUACUUUAUUUAUUCCAUCUGUUCUUUGUUCAUCCAUAAUCCCUUCUUUGGUAUGAAUGCAAAAAUUUAUAUUCUGUUAUAUUUCAUUUGCAGGCUUUUCCAGUGUACCUUUUUGCAUUGUUUUUAAUAGCCACUCUAGAGGUUAAAAUAUGUAUCUUCAGGUAAAUCCCAUGUAAAUUAUCUGUAAAUUCUCUUCAGUGAAUUACACCUAGAGUGCUAAAAUCUUUGUUACUUAUUUUUAAAAGAAAUUUACCUAAAUGAGGAUAUGCUCAGGAAAAAUACACAUAUGAUUUUGGAGGGGGUAAUGGAUUUCUGGAGGUAAGAAAUAGCUGCCUAUCACUCAUUUUAACUUCACUCUAACCUUUGAGUAACCUGUACUACUUUGAUGGGACUGGAAUUCAGGGCAGUUGAAGCAGUAAGUUUUGGCCAAUUAGGAGCAUGAAAUUAAAUUAAUUAUUAUUUGGAAAAAUAGUGUAAAGCAAUUAAAUGGACUAAGAGAUAGCCUCUGUGUGGGCUAAUGACCAACAUAACCAAUAUACAUUUAUCUAGGACAGUUGUGGAACUGGAUAUUUAAUAGGUGGAAGUUUCUAAGGAAUCCAUGUACACAGAUGCUUAGCAACUGGUGCUGUUUUCCACUAGCAGUAAAUUUUUUUCUUAGUAUUUAUCUUUACUCUUACACUUGUUUGUGCAUCAGAAUUUUUUUCUCUUCAUGCCUGAGAUCUUUCAUGACAUAACUUUGGCCACAUUUGGAAAAAAAUCAGGAACUUCAAAAAUUCAAAAACACCAUAUUAAACACCAUAAAGCAAGUUACUUUUGGCUGUUCCUCUAAAGGUCAUGUAAUACUUUGUGUUUUCUCCAACAUGACACAGCAUGACAGAACAAAGUAGUUAUCUUUUGUACUUGUCAGCAUUGUUCUAUCGACUUCAAAUGAUGAAAUGCUUCUGAGCAUGCUGUUGCUUUUUCCUUCGGGGGCUUGUGCUGAUUUCUUUAAAGUAUUAUGUAUAUCAAAUAAAUCAUUCAUUUAUUAUUCCUGACACUGAAUUUGGUAAGAAAAAGUAUCUGUACUUCACUUCAAAAUUGCAUUUGGAUGCUCUUUACUUUUGAAGUAAUGAAAAUGCAGUUCAUUUAUAUUUUUUGUCUUCAAGUUACCAUUUUUUUCUUAAUUCCUGUGUUUGCCAAGAAAACACUGUCUCUGGAUGUUGUGGAGGACAAAGUUUUAGAUAGUCAAAGAAGUAAACUUUAACUUUUAAUAAAGAUUUUAAUGAAAAACCUCAAGUCGUGGUCAUACUUUGAUUUGAUAACUGUUAAUAUGACAAAACUUGCAUUUGAGUGAUAGCAGCUGAUAGAACAGAAAAACCAAUCUCUUAAGUGGUUUAUUUCCCACUGCAUAAUGGUUUGGUGCAGAUGUUUUUGGUUGAACUGCUGCCAGAUGGGGGAAAGAAGAAUGGAAAGUUGCAUAUGGGAAGUUUCUCAGAAGCUAAACCUGAAAGUGGCAUACAUUGUUUUUGCCCAUAUUCUCUUGGCUAGGACUUAAGUUAUUGACAUUCACAGCUCUAAGAGAAAUAUGUUCAAGAUAUGUGCUUAGAAGUGGGUUUGCAAUUAAGGAAACUUAACUGGGGUCUUUGUCAUAGUGGAGGGAGAUUUUUUAUUUGAGCAAGGUCAGCUUUGAGGUAAAAAUUAAUGAGUGAUUAUAACCCUGAGCAAAUUAGUAAUCUUCUGUUGACCAUGGUAUACUACUACAAUAUACAAUAUGACUUUUACCUACCUCAUGAGUUUUAUAAAGAUUAAAAAAUAGAAUGCAUAUAAAAUGCCCAGCACAAUUCAUGGAAAAGUUUAAACACUUAAAAAUGUUAGUUUUAACCUUCACUGUCUAAGUAAUAUACUGCUUUAUUCUGCGAUCAUCCGUAGGAAAUAAUUUAAUUUGAUAUUAGCAUAGUUCAACACCAAAGCACUUUUUAAUUAUUCAUUUACUUUUAUUUAUUUUUAGUAAUGUAUUUAUUUAUUUGAAAGGCAGAGUUACAAAGAUAGGGAGAGAUCAAGAGAUAUUCCAUGCUUUGGUUCACUCCCCCAAUGGCCUCAAUGGCCAUGGCUGGGUUAAGCCGAAGCCAGGAGUUUCAUCCACGUCUCCCAUGUGAGUGCAGGUGCCCAAGUACUUGGGCCAUCUUCUGUUGAUUUCCCAGACACGAUAGAAUGCUGGAUAGGAAGAAGAUCUUCCAGGACACGAAAUGGUGCCCUUGUGGGAUGCUAGUGUCACAGGUGAUGAUUUAACCUGUUACACCACAAUGCUGUCCCCAUAGGGCAGUUUUUUAAGAAAGGAAUUAUUUUAUGAAUAAUAAACCAUGGAUGUUCAGAAAAUUGUGCAUUUUAGCAGUUGUUUAAUAUAAAUAAAUAUAAAUAAAUAUUUACUCAGUAGACAUAACUUUUGGGGCAGAUAGAACACAAAUUCAACACAUUUUUUUCCCAGGCAGCAGCUGUUAAUUUUGAAGGUUUUAAUCAUUUUGCAUCACAGUUGAAUUUGGAGAGGAAAUAAAUGGCAAACUUCAAUACAGAUAUACAAUAUACAUAUAUACAAAUGCAAUAUACACAUGCCUAUAUACAAGUAUGUGUAUAUGUAACUAUAUAAUCCAGGGAAGGAGAGGAGAGGAAAACUCCUUACUUUUCUGUAAGUUCUAUCCUAUGGUAAUGUUUCCCUCUUGUUAACCUGAAUAUUUCCAUAUCUUGGUUAUUCAAGUCAUUUUAAAUCUAAUAUAAUUUCAGUUAUACAUUCAUAAAGAAAUGUGUCCUGCAUACUUUAAUAGCAUGGGACUUCCAGUGUAAAUAAUCCAUGAGAAUCUACAUUUAGAAAAAGUACAACUUUUCAUUAAUUAACAGAAAGCAUGAUUUAUAUGCCACUUGUCUUUGCACAUAAAAUAAUCUUAAAGAGAAAAAAGAACAUCAAAACUAAGUGUAAUAUAUGAAAUUAUGCUUUUAAGACAGUAAAAUUCAGAUUUCUGCUUGCUUUUCAGAGUUCCAAUGUCCUUGGCAGCAAGUAAAUUUAGUUAUUUCAGUUGUAGGUUUAGAUUUUAAAAGUUUUCUCUAGCGUGAGUCAUAAAAUAAUUAAUUGAAGAAUUUUCUCUUUGUAUUGAAAUAUAAUAAAAUCUCACAAUCACCAAACCUCUGGAGUACUGGAGUAAAAAUUCUUGCUACAGAAACUUACAUGCACACUUAAAACCCAAAAUUCUGGAAAUAUUCUAAUUUUACAACAACCAAAGAAAUAUGUGGUUAGGAGUUUUCCUCUCUUUCAUUCCAGUCCUUUUUUCCCCUGGCUUUGUUAGGUAGAUUUUCAGCUAUUGUUUAAGUUAUCCAGUGUCUUCAGUAAUUUCUGUCUAAUCAGUUGAUGAGUAUUUACUUGGAUCAGGUGCUGACUUUGCAGUAUCAUCAGUUCACAUUCGAAUUCAGUUAUACGUUUCCCAAGGCCUACGUUAUGCCAGCAAACAGACAAAUCACACAUCUCAAGAUGUCAGUGUAAAGUCAACAGAGAGGAUGAGGGCAACAUUCCUUUCAUGCUAGGAUUGGCUGUGACUGGAGAAGGGGAAUGUAUUCAUGCUGCUUUUGUCUACUUUAUGUCAUUAGAUGUGUGGUCAUGUAUCUUUGUCUCUGUCACUGCCACUGCUGCUACUGGUGGUACCUUCUGUGUACAAAUUCACAAAGACAGUGGUGUGUCAGGCUGUUUGUACAGAACAGAGAAUCAGGGCACUCCCUUGAUUAUACCUAUUAAUAUUCUUUUUAUGUUUUCUUGAUAUUUACGAGUAUCUACCUUUUUCUCAUUUAAAUAAAAUUACCCUUUCAGGAAGAAUAGAGUUCAGGUAUUUCCUCUGAAUAUACCAGAUGUAGUCCAAGGAUUUUCUAGACCAUUGGACAGUUUCUAACAUUGGCAGAUCUCCCUCUCUCUCUCUCUCCCUCUCUCCCUCUCUCACACACACACACAUACACACACACACACACACCCCUUAUUUCUACUUCUGUUGGUAGUAAAUAUAAGUUUAAAUGAAGAAAUUUUGAUCUUUAAACUGUAUGAGUGGACAGAAUAUUAUUGUGUAAAUUGUCCUAAAUUUUGGUUCAACAUUUAUGUUACCCACCAUAAAGCAGAUACUUUGUACAGCAAGGUUAGACAAUGGAAACAUUCUAAACAUGCCUCUAUUAUGCGACAAAAGUUACUGUCCCCUUCUCCCCAUCAACCUUAGAAUACAUUUUAUUAUUGAUCCCUAGAAAGAAAUAGUUGAGUCAACAAAAUGAAGAAAAAAUAAUUAAUUAAAUGCUAGGACUUUUAUAAUAGCUCCGUGGUAGUCAUUUAUAUGUUAAUGUUUUACAAUGACUAAUUUAAUUGGCAGAUGGUAGUUCAUAUUACACUAAGAGAGUUGGGCAUUUCCCUAGGCCAAAUGAUUUUGUACCCAGUUUUCAAUUAAGGGAAGGCUGCCAAUUAUCUGCAGUGGGUUUUAUUUUAAUUACUGGGUGAUUAGGACAGCUAGGUAACCAGCCCAAAGGAAGAAGAGCUCAACUGCGAGUGUGAAUCCUUAUUAUGCAAACCUAUAAAAUAAAUAAAGAAAACCCAUGCAAAGAAAUUGUUUUAGAGAAAUGGUUGAUAAUUUACCUGUGGUGCUUCAUAUUGUUUUACUCAUUUGAUCAAUAAAAUGUAAGUUUAAAAUACUAAUCUGGCCAUUUGUGAACUAGACAUUGUUUCUGUAAGAAAAAACAAAUUCAGAGGAAAGGAAUUAUAUGUUAACAAUCAGUGUACAACAUGUCUUGUAUUUCAUGUGUUUUGAAAUGCUGACAUCUAAGAAGUCACUUCUGGAGUGACCUUUGUCAUAUGAAAUGCGCUUGAGACUGAUGGCAGAGAGCUGGCGUAAAUAAAUUCAUGAUGUUAUUGUUGCCUACACCGUCCGAUUUUUUAGCCAUGAUCCUUUUCUACAUCGCCAGUUAUCCUUUAAAAUUUUCCAUGUAACUGUCUAGCAUCACUUUAACUUCACCAGAUCUAUACCAGCCCUGUUUACUCCUCAGCCUAGGUGCUUUCCCAGAUUUCUGUGUUCUUGUGUUGUCCACAGGAACCACCAAUUUGACUUUCCUUCAGACAUGAAUGGUUAUAGUUAUUGAUUUUAUGCUUCCAUUCUUCUUUAUUUGUCAGUCACUCUUUGAAAAAUUCUUAUACCAGCACCUUUAUCUCCAUUCAGUCUGUUGUUCUGAUCUAGAUUCUCACUGCUAAGCUACUACAAUGGCCUUUACUAGCCAAAUAUUCUCAUUUCUCCAAAUUAUCCUUAAAUAAUAAACAACAGGUUUUUAUAUGAUUUCUUCCCUACUUAAGAAAUAUUCCACUGGCUGUUAAAUUAAGUAUAAAAUAUAGGGCCGGACGCUGUGGUGUAAUGGUUAAAAGCUACCACCUGAGGUGCCAGCAUCCCAUAUGGGCCCCAGUUCGAGUUCUGGCUGCUCCACUUCUGAUCCAGUUCUCUAGUAUGGCCUGGGAAAGCAGUAGAAGAUGGCCCAAGUCCUUGGGCCCCUGCACCCAUGUGGGAGACCCAGAAGAAUCUCCUGGCUCCUCGCUUCAGAUUGGCGCAGCUCUGGCCAUUGUGGCCAUCUGGGAAGUGAACCAGUGGAUAGAGGACCUCUCUCUCUCUCUCUCUCUCUCUCUGCCUCUGCCUCUUUCUAACUCUGCUUUCACACACACACACACACACACACACACACACACUCUUAAUUAUAAUCACGUGGAGAACUUUAAAUUAAAUAGUGUUACCGGGUGCUGUGCUGCUACAUUCUGAUUUAUUGAUUUACUUGGAUCCACAUGAUCAGGAUCUCCAUGGAUAGGGCCUUGAAGUGUAUUUUUGUAGGAGUGCAGGAGAUUCUGAGGUUCACCCAGCUUAGAGAAGCACUACCCCAUACCCUUUUUCUUUCUUGUACUCUCAACUGAUUACUGCUAUGAAUUGUUUUCCUAAGCUAACAAAAAAUGGUUUAUUCAUAGAUAGAAUGAAUAGAACCAUAGAAUUUAUUAAACAAACUGAUUGUAGAAUUCUCAAAUAUCCAAUGAAUUACUGGAAACAUUUAAAUGCAUUGUGAUAAAAUAUUAUUCCACUGCACUUUGGGAGAUAUUAGGAGUGAAAUAGUAUGAUUACCAAGACUGAAGGUCUUGAUGAGACUCCUGCCACUAGGAGGAAUAUAUAUUUAAGUCGAAAUAAUAAAAAUUCAGAAAACACUGUUUUUGCAAGAGGAAUGUAUCUGAAUUAUAUGGAGAGCCAUUCAGAAAUUCAGAUAAUUUUUUUUCUGCAUUCUGCUUUGGCUGGCUAUAGUAUAUUUUAAAAGACUUUAGGAUUUAAAUAGCUUAAAUAAAAUGGUAAAUUCAAGUUGGGAAAUGCUAAGUCACUCUUCAACAGUAAAGGAUCAAGAGAAUUUAAUCUUCUGUCUUUGCUCCUUUCACUCUUGUAUAUUUUUAUUUGAAAGAUUGGAAGUUGAAAAAGGGAUAUGCAGGAAGUUGGGGAUGGGUAGUAUGCAAUUUUAUACUCACCCAAAAUCCCAGGGUGCACAUGGGCAAGCUCCUCUCCCCACAUUCACAAAUGUGCACACACUGAAAAUUAUGAAGACAUUUUUCCCCUCUAGGAUUAAAAUAUACAUAAGGAAUGGCUGAGUUAAAUAUAUUAGGGAGGUGAUAGAGCUUGGUAUAGCCAGGGCAAUAUGGGUCCUAUCCAAAAGGAGUUUGUAUUUGUAUUUGUGUGUAUUAAUUAGUUUUAAAAUACAUUUAGAAAUACAAAAUUUAUGUAACCUUUAUUCAACUCUAAGAUGCUCUCAAAUUAUUCCAUUUUUAACUCCACAUGCAGGAAAUAGAGCAUAUUUUCCAACUGAAUUUGGCCAUUAGCCUCCAGUUUUCAACUUGUUACAUUGUGCUCUAAGAUGUAUAAAUGUCAAGAUGUUUUUCUUUCUUUAACAGAUCUUGUAGUAAUUUCUUGUUGUUAUUUUAACAGAUUGCUACUUUAGAUGUGAUGUGAGUGAUAUAGUAAUAUUUCUUUCAUGAAAUGGUGUGAGGAUGUAGGACUCGCAUAUAUCAAAAUCAGAUUGAAACCAGAGAUUGUUCCUUUCUUUCUAGUUUUCUAUCUGAAAACUUUUCUCCCAUCUUGAAGUAUUUGCAGUGAAAUAAGAAGUCCGUUAAUUUUUUACAGGUAUAUGUCUCCUAUAAUGGGCAGCUGAAUCUUGUGCGUCUAAGACAUAUGUAUGAAUUAAAAGGUUAAUGUCUUUAUUGCAUUCAUUGAUUUUACACAUAAUUGUUAACCAAGAUAUAAAGUUUUCUCUGACAGUCUGAAAAUUUGAUGAGUACUAUUUGAUCAUUACUGUAAUGUGAUAACAUUAUUCAAUCAACAUAUAAAGGUAUAUCUAAGAUUGUGUUAAAAAGUUUGAUAACUGUUGGAUGGCACAUCAAACAAUAUAUAUAGAAAUAACAUUUUGUAUAAUUGCAAAAAUUGUAAAUUAAAUCUCUGAUUGAUUUUGUUAGGAGAGGACUGAAAAAUAAGAAAUACAGUUGUAUUAAAACACCAUAAACAGCAAAAAAUCUUUCACAGUUAUCUUUGUAAUCCAUAUGCUUAAUAGACAGAAAUGAAAUCCUAACUUUCCAAUUAUGUUCUUGUAUGACAUUCAUCUAUGUAAUUGAAGGGAUCUUGAUUUGGUAGGAAACAUAAUAUAUUCUGGAGCUGAUCUUUCCUGAAGGCUGUAAUUAUGUGCCAGGGCUCAUUUUAAGCAUCAGUGGGGUUCUCACAAACGCUGUCAGGUGAGACAAAGCACGUGCUCUGUCAGGUAGAUUUCUAGCAUAACUAAGUAUUUAUUAACUGAACAGCUUUAUAUGCAGGAGGAAAGGAGAUAUGUUUGUCAAUAGCAUCUAAGAGACCAGAUGGUUUGAGACAGAUACUAUGUUCUUUUAAUUAGUUGCUAGUGAGGUUGAAAAAUGCCCCUUUAAUAGGCUCAUAAAAUAGUAGGUUUACAAUUUAGGGCCAUUUCUUUAUUUCCCCUGAGGAAGAAUGGGUACUAAAAUGUAUCAAGUUUAAACUAUUCUGACACAAAUAAGUGGUCUCAUUCAUGGAACUGUUUACAAACUCUGAGUCAUACGGGAAAAAAAAAUACAUGGGGUGAAAAGAAGUAGGUUUUUAUAACUGUUCUUACAUAUGAACACUACUAUUUCUUUUUCAUUUCACGAAAUUUUUGAGGAGAAAAAAGUAGUCUUGACAAACUUGAUGAUGUUAAAUAAGCAUAGUAAUAAGUAAUGAAGAAGUUCCAACUCUUUUACCAGGAGCUAUAAUUGCUUCAUUGAAGAUAGUUGAAGUCAUAUCUGAAGUGCAGCCUGAAAUACAUCAUCUCCCACAGUUCUUCCCAUUCUUUUUUUUAUUUUUUUUUAUUUUUGACAGGCAGAGUGGACAGUGAGAGAGAGACAGAGAGAAAGGUCUUCCUUUGCCGUUGGUUCACCCUCCAAUGGCCGCCGCUGCUGAUCCGAUGGCAGGAGCCAGGAUCCAGGUGCUUUUCCUGGUCUCCCAUGGGGUGCAGGGCCCAAGGACUUGGGCCAUCCUCCACUGCACUCCCGGGCCACAGCAGAGAGCUGGCCUGGAAGAGGGGCAACCGGGACAGAAUCCGGCGCCCCGACCGGGACUAGAACCUGGUGUGCCGGCGCCGCAAGGUGGAGGAUUAGCCUAUUGAGGCACGGCGCCGGCCUAGUUCUUCCCAUUCUUAAUUCUCAGUGUAAGUGCCAGAAAUUGCAAAUAACUUUUGAAGAUUUUUGUGAGUUGUAGGUUAAGUUUUGGUUGGAAGCUUAUAAAUAAAUCUUUCCAUUGUGUCAUAUCUGCAUUUACUGCAUUGUAAAGUUAAUUAAGCAAUAGCUGGGCAUUUCAUAGGGAUUAAUGACUAACAGGGAGGAGUAGAUGGCUUAAGGUACAGCCAAGGGUCAUUAACAUCUGCUGGCCAUUAAUUCCCAGAAAAUGCCUAGCAUUGAAGUCAUUAUUGCUAUUAUGAACUGAAAAUGGAAACGAACUAUAGGCAUAUGGAUUUUUUUAAGGAUGAUGCAAUUUUAAUUGAUAUGUAUAAGGUAAUCAUGGAGAACUUAAUUCUUGUACACUAGCCAAUCAUGUUGCUGGUCUCAUCUCUCAUGGUUCCAUUUGGGUUAUAAUUAAGCAGUAACUGUUGUAGAACUGGGCAUUUCCUGGGGGUUAAUGAAUAGCUGGGCGGAGUUAAUUGUCUAAAGUAUAGUUUCAGGCCAUUAACCUCAGUUGGUCACUAAUCUUUAGGAAUUUCAUUUAACUGAAGUCAACUUUUUUGUAGUAAGAGGAAAAAUAUAUUCAGUUGUUUCAAUAUUAGUCUUAGGGCAUUUUUCUUUUCUUGAAAUGUAUCCAAUAAUGAAAAAGAUCUACAGAGUCUUUCUGUAUGUCCAUUUCAGAGCUCCCUUGUUUUGCAUAUACUUGUAAACACCCAAUAGAUAGACCACAUAAAAAGGGUGCAGAAAAUAGUGCUUAUUUGAUGAGAGGGUCUGUCUGGUUCAAGUGAUAAAAUCAACACAUGGAAGCAUGGAUUUCCUUGAGUUUGUCAGUCUGUAUAUUUGAUACAAUUAUAUAUGUCUUGACGUUUAUCUUUUUAAAAAUCACAUUAUUAAAAAUCAUUGUUGGGGCCAGUGCUGCACCUGCAGUGCUGGCAUUCCAUUCAGGCGCCAGUUCGAGUCCUGCCUGCUCCACUUCUGAUCCAGCUCUCUGCUAUGGCCUGGAAUUGCAAUGGAAGAUGGCCCAAGUGCUUGGAUCCCUGCACCUAUGUGGGAGACCUGGAAGAAGCUCUUGGCUCCUUGCUUUGGAUUGGUCCCACUCCAGCCGUUGUGGCCCUUUGGUGAAUGAACCAGUGGAUGCAAGACACUUUCUGUGGGGAGCAACUUGGACUAGACUGUUACUGGAAUUAAGACUUAUUCUAUGCAUCUGCUCUCCCACAGUAUGGUGCUGGGAGAGGAGUAAACAGCUUCUGCGCAGCUGCCUCUCACUAACUUGAGUGAUGACCUGCAGGAGCUGAUCCUGCUCCUGAUUGGAGGAGAGCAGCGUACUCGGCGUGUGGGUAGCAAAGUUGGGAUUGGUGGAAGAGGACUAUAAAGGAGGAGAGAGACAACAUGCACCAGGAACAUCUAAAGGGAACACCUGAGCAGCCCCCGAGAGAGCCUGCCGGCAGUGUGCCGCUCCCCCGCGGAAGUGGGGAAAGUGGCAGGGGGAACCGCCCUUCCACGGAGGUGGAAGGGAUGGUAGCCAACCCGGGAAGAACCAGCAGCAAACCCGGGGAGGGCUGAGCAGACAAAAGAACAGCGCAGGGUCCUGUGUCGUUCCUCCACAAAGACGGGGAGCAACAACUUUCUCUCUCUCUCUCUCCCCUCUCUGUGCCUCUCUGUAAUUAUGCCUUUCAAAUAAAUAAAUUUUUAAAAAAAUCAUGGUUGACCUGGAAAAACUGCCUUUGUUCUCUAUCAAUUAUCUAUAUAUAAUAUUUCCAUUCAAUACAUUAGGAGACUUCAAAAAGUCAUUGGAACCGAGUCUGAAGCCAGGAGCUGCUUCUUCUGGGUCUUCUACGGGGGUGCAGGGGACCACUGCCUUCCUAGGCCGUUAGCAGAGAGCUGGGUUGGAAGAUGGACAGCCAGAACAUGGACCAGUGACCAUAUGGGAUGCCAACACUGCAGGUGGUGGCUUUACUCGCUACACCACAGUGCCCUGAUCCACAGGUGGAGGCUUAGCCUACUAAGUUCACCACAGCGCUGGUCCCUGUCGUGCUGUUUUCUAAUACAUUUAAGUCAAUACCUGUUUAUAAAAUCUGCCCUAACAUAAGCAGCCAAUUUUCUUCCUUUCUAUGCAUUAUGAUUCUUGGGGUACUACUAACGUUUUGUUCUUAAUUUGGAUGUCAUAAAUAUGAUUAUUGGGCAAAAAAUGCAUCUGUACACUUAGGUGCAUUUCUUGAAAUGUAUACCUUAUUUCAAUAAAAUGUUUGAAAUAUUAUUAAAGAAUUAAUUUAGUGACCAUAUCCCAGGUAGUUCUAUAAUACAUUUCCAAAGCAUUCAGUAAAAUUAAUUUUUUUAGGGAACAUCAAAUUCUCUAUGUAGUAUUCUGAUCUGUUUCUUUGCAAGUCAUUUUAGCAUUCAACAUGUUGUCUUUGUUUAGACAUCUGCAUUUCAAUGAGGACAUAGAUCAUAUUGUUUUGGUGUGCUACUUUCGACCUCCUAUCCAAUUUCUUAUUUUACCUUAAUAAAUUGCAUAGUUUUUUCUCAGUUUCAUAUUUAUUUUUAUAAGAUCUGUUUUUGGAUUGCACAAUAUUUACAUUAGCUUUGCUUUCUGCUAUUGAAUCUCCAGUGUCCAUUUUGUCUCAGCUUAUAAGAAAAUGACACCUUAUAAGAGAUUGCAACUAAUAUCAUAAGAAUUUGCUAAAACUCCCUUUAUAUGUAAUAUUUGUUUACCACAAAAAAAAUGUGUUCUUAUGACAGAGAUAGAAUUCAAGAACACUGUGAAAUGGAGACCAGCAUCAUUAAAUUUAUGUAAUCUAGAUCUAUUUAUUCUAGGGAAUGUUGGUAAUCUUGAAUGUUCAUAUUGCUAAGAUGACAAAAGAAAUAAAUUAUUGCACCUAAAAUCAUAUAUUGAAAGAAAUAAUAGAAACUGAGGAAUGUUUUCCAAAAUUGGUAGAUUCUAAAUAGCAGGAACAAAAAUAAGUUUCUAUAUUUUAAUUUCAAAAGAGAAAAAUUCUGUUUUUUAAGAAUCUCCAUAAUGUUUUCCACAGUGUCUGUACUAAUUUACAUUUCCAGCCACAGUAUAUAAGAGUUGCCUUUCUCCACAUCAUUGUGAGCAUUUGUUACUUUCUGUCUUUUGGAUAAUAGGCAUUCUGACAAUGCUGAAGUGAUACCUCAUUGUGGUUUUGAUUUGUGUUUCCUGACGGCUAGUGAGAUUGAGCAUCUUUUCAUAUAUUUUUUGGCCAUUUUGCAUUUCAUCUUUUGAUAACUGUCCAUUGAGCUCCUUUGCCCAUAUAACUGGAUUGGCUAAAUUUUUGUUGCUGGGUUUUUUUAAUUGCUGAUUUUUUCUGGAUAUUAAUCAUUUGUUGGGUAGGUAGCUUGCAAAUAUUUUCCCUUUUCUGUCGGAUGUCUCUUCACUCUGGUAGUUGUUUUCUUUGCAGAAGCUUCCGAGUUUGAUGUAAUCCCAUUUGUCUAGUUUUGCUUUUGUUGCUUGGGCUUUGGGGGUCUUUUUUAUGAAUUAGUCAUCAUAUCAGUGUCUUGGAACAUUUCCUCUAAAUUUUUCUUCCAGCAACUUCAUAGUGGCAGGUCUUAAAUUUAGGGGAUUGAUCCAUGUUGAGUUGAUGUUUUGUAUACAGUGAAAGAUAGGGUUCUAAUUCCAUUCUUCUACAUAUAAACAAUCAGCUUUCCUAGUACCAUUUAUUGAAGAGGUUAUCUUUUCUCCAAUAUGUAGUCUGGACACUUUUGUCAAAACCCAGUUGAGCCGGCGCCGUGGCUCAAUAGGCUAAUCCUCUGCCUGCUGUGCCAGCACACCAGGUUCUAGUCCUGAUCGGGGUGCUGGAUUCUGUCCUGGUUACCCCUCUUCCAGGCCAGCUCUCUGCUGUGGUCCGGGAGUGCAGUGGAGGAUGGCCCAAGUGCUUGGGCCCUGUACCCCAUGGGAGACCAGGAGAAGCACCUGGUUCCUGGCUUCAGAUCAGCACGGUGCGCCGGCUGUGGCGGCCAUUAGGGGGUGAACCAACGGAAAAGGAAGACCUUUGUCUGUGUCUCUCUCUCUCUCACUGUCCACUCUGCUUGUCAAAAAAUAAAAAUAAAAAAAAAACAGUUGAUAAUAUGUGCAUAUAUUAAUUUUGGGGCUCUCUGUUCUAUUGAUCAGAAUUUGGGUUUUAUGCCAGUAUCAUGCAGUUUUAAUCACUAUAGCUUUGUGAUAUGCUUUGAAGUCAAGUAUUGUAAUGACUCCAGGUUGAUUUUUUUUUUCCUGUGGCUAUUCUGGGUCUUUUGUGUUUCCAUUUGAAUUUCAGGAUUUUAUUCCUAAUUCUUUAAAAAAAUAUGGUUUGUACUUUAACAGGUAUUACAUUGACUUUUUAAAAAAAUAUUUAUUUAUUUAUUUGAAAGAGUUACACAGAGAGCGGAGAGGCAGAGAGAAAGAGAGAGAGAGAGAGAAUCUUCCAUUGGAUGGUUCACUCCCCAAUUGGCCUCAAAGGCUGGAGCUGCACCAAUCCGAAGCCAGGAACCAGGAGCUUCUUCCAGGUCUCCCACAUGGGUACAGGGGCCCAAGGACUUGGGCCAUCUUGUACUGCUUUCCCAGGUCAUAGCAGAGAGCUGAAUCAGAAGUGGAGCAGCCGGGAUUUGAACUGGCACCCAUAUGGGAUGCUGGCACUUCAGGACAGGGUGUUAACCCACUGCACCACAGUGCUGGGCCAUACAUUGACUUUUUAUAUUGCUUUAGGUAGUAUAAAAAUUUUAAGGAUAUUAAUUCUUCAAUCCAUGAGCAAGGAACUUGCCAUUUGAUUCAUCAACCUCACUACUGGAUAUAUACCCAAAAGACAUGAACACAUUAUAUCAAAGAGAUACCUGCAUCACCAUAUGUAGCAGUACUAUUCACAAAAGCCAAAGUAUGCAGUCUGCUAAGGUGUCCAUUAUCGAUAAACAGGUAAAGAAAAUAACAUUGGAAUAUUAUUAAGCUAUAAAAAAGAAUGAGAUUCUACCAUUUGCAUCAAAAUGGAUGCAACCGGAGGACAUCUUAUUGAGUGAAAUAAGCCAGACACAGACGACAAUUACCACAUAUUCACACUUAUUUUGGCAGUUAAAAUUAAAAAAGAAAAAAGAAAUAAAAAAAAAAACAUAAAGAAGGGACUGUGUGCUGUGUCUGUAAUGCUGCAGAUGUACUUUUGUUAAACUCUGUUUUAUGUAAUUGUCAGAUCAAUGGUUAGCAAUGCCAUAUCACUACAGUUUUAAUCUCCAGUUAUUUUAAAGUUUACUGGAGCCAGUGCUAUGGUAUAGCAGGUAAAACCGCCGCCCGCAGUGCCAGUAUCCUAUAUGGGCGCUGGUUCAAGUUCCAACUGCUUGACUUCCCAUCCAGCUCUCUGCUAUGGCCUGGGAAAACAGUAGAAAAUAGCCCAAGUCCUUGGGCCCCUGAGCCCAGCUGUUGUGGCCAUUUGGAGAGUGAACCAGCAGAUGAAAGACCUCUUUCUCUCUAUAGCCUUUUGGGGAGUGAACCAUCAGAUGGAAUACCUCUCUGACUCUGACUCUCUGUAACUCUGCUUUUCAAAUAAAUACAUAAGUAAAUAUUUUUUAAAAAAAGUUUACUGUGUAAGAGUAAAAUGGACAUCUUUUCAUUUGAUUAUUGUUUAUAUAUUCCUGUUGAACUAUAGUCUCCCUGCUUGUUGAACUCUUUAGUGAAGUGUUAACCCUUUGACUGUAAUGAAAAUUAAAAAUGUUAUCUCAAAAUUUAAAAAAACAAGAAAGAAAUAAAUACAGAAAGAUGGCGGGAAGGAAGGAAAUAAAAGAAGAAAGGAAGAGGGAUGGAAAAUGGUGGAGGAAAGGAAGUAUUAUUCUUAGAAUUGUGUCUAUGAACUGCAUUGAAUCUAUUCUCUUUGUAUUAAUAUCAUAUUAACAUGAAAAUUGAUAAGAAUUAUGUUGUAGUAAUUACCAUGCAUUUUUUGUGGCACUGAUAAUCUAAUGUAUUAAUAAAUUCUUUGAAAAAUAAAUUUAUUUUAUUUUAUUUAUUUAUUUGAGAGGUAGAGUUUCAAACAGUGAGAGGGAGAGACAGAGAGAAAGGUCUUCCUUCCAUUGGUUUACUCCCCAAACGGCUGCAACUGCUGGAUCUGUGCCAAUCGAAAGCCAGGAGCCAGAUGCUUCUUCCUGGUCUCCAAUGAGGGUGCAGGGACCCAAGAGCUUGGGUCAUCUUCUACUGCUUUUCCAGGCCAUAGCAGAGAGCUGGAUUGGAAGAGGAGCAGCCAGGACUAGAACCGCUACCCAUAUGGGAUGCUGGCACCACAGGCACAGGAUUAACCUGUCCCACGGCACUGGCCUUACAUUCUAUUAAAUUAAAAAAUAAAAUUCUAGAUGUUGAAUCAGUGAAAGGCAGCUAUUUACUUUUUUUAUAUAAUCUUUAGAGAAAUUUAAAUUUUCUUCUGAAAUUAUUAUCUGCCACGGUAGUUCUAUUCCAAUUACAGUGUUUUUCAAAGUCCACCCCCCCUUAAAGCAGUAGACACAAUCAUUAACCUCUGUGAAAUGAGGUUUUUUGCUUUUCUGGUGCCAAAGAGAAAACGCAAGUUAAGCAACAUGUUAAUAAUACAUAUAAGAAGAGGAAUCUGUUGCUUUCAAGAUGAUGGGAAUUGUGAGUUAUAUAUUUUGUAUUAUUUCUAAACUUGAUUCUAUAAAUGUAAUCAUCAAUGAAAAACGUGAUCAUAGGAAUCAUAAUUUAAAAAGUUUUAUACAUAUUAGAUUCUCUAUCCAUAUAGAUCAAGUUUCAGAAAUACUUGAAAAUAAAGUAAGUUGCAGACCUCACAUGUUCUAGAGUUAAAACUCUGCAGACAUAUGCAUCCUUUCUUUUGGCCAUGAUCAUUCAGUUCAACUGAUUAAAUUAUUGAGGCAGCCUCAACUAGAUGUAAAUAUCUUUCAUUUUUUAAAAAGAUUUAUUCAUUUGAAAGGUAGAAUUAGAGAGAGAGAAUGAGAGAGAGAGAGAGAGAGAGAGAGAGAGAGAGAUUUUCCAUCUGCUUGUUCACUCCCCAAAUGGCCUCAGGGGCUGGGUCUGGACCAGGCUGAAGCCAGAAGUUUCUUCAGGGUCUCCCAGGUGGAUGCAGGGACCCAAGCACUUGGACCAUCUUCUGCUGCUUUCCUGUGUGCCUUAGCAGGAAGCUGGAUCGGAAGUGGAACAACUGAAACUUGAACCAGAGCCCAUAGGGGAUGCCGGCAUUGUAGGCAGCUGCUUUACCCACUACACUGCAGCGCCAUCCUGGAUGUUAAUAUCUUUGAACACUGCCCUUUAAAAGUUGAUUCUCUUACUUUUAAAAAGAGAAAAAGCAAUGGCAGCAGCUGAGAAAGAAAAAUAGAGGAAAACAAAUUUAGAGUGAUUCAGGACAAUAAUGUCAUGCAUAGAUUUUUUUUAAUAAAUCACAUUUUCUAUACAUUUUUUUGAAAAUCCCUUGUCUAAUUUAUUUCAACAUUCAUUUUGAAUUUUAUCAAAAAUCAUUACCAACACUGUCAGUUAAUAACAAGCAUUCUAGGGGCUGGCACUGUGGCUCAGUGGGUUAACACCCUGGCCUGAAGCGCCGGCAUCACAUAGGAGCGCUGGUACAAGUCCCGGCUGCUCCUCUUCCCAAAUCCUCUUCCACUGCUUUCCCAUGCCACAGCAGAGAGCUGGAUGGGAAGUGGAGCAGCUAGGACUCGAACAGGUUCCCAUAUGGGAUGCUGGCACUGCAGGCGGCGGCUUUACCCACUACUCCACAACACUGGCCCCUAUAAGUUAUUUUUGGUAGGCCAUAAAUAUUUCCAAGCAUGAGUGAAGAAGCAAUCAGAUUGGAUUAGUGGUUUAGAAAAUCACUUGACCCAGGGGCUGGCACUGUGGCAUGGUGGGUAAAGUCUGGGCCUGCAAUUCUGGCAUGUGCAUAUAGGCACCAGUUUGCGUCCCAGCUACUCUACUUCCUGUCUACUCCCUGCUUGUCGCCUGGGAAGGCAGUGGAAGCCCAAAUGCUUGGACCACUACACCUGUGUGGGAGACCUGGAGGAGGCUUCUGGCUCCUGGCUUCAGAUCAGCCCAGCUCUGUCCGUUGUUUCUAUUUGGGGAGUGAACCAGCAGAUGGAAGAUCAGUCCCUCCCUGUCUCUGUGAUGCAGUCUUUCAAAUAAAUGGAUGUAAGUUUCAAGAAAAAAAAAACAAAAGAAAA